CAUCCUCCACUAUCCUUUUUGGAUAUGAAACGGAACAGUCCGCCAUUUGCAAAGCAAUUGUGGUCGGCUUAAUGGUUCCUAUUUCAAGCUUGUUGAAGAUUGAGAGAUGCAUCAAGUUUAUGCUUGCUCCCAAAUCACACAAGGCCUUUCCAAAACGACCAUUACCAAUAUCACAUGGAAUAGUAAAGCUCCCGGGAUCCUUGAUCUUGAGGGAUAACUUCUUUUGAAGAACGGCACAACAUUCUUCGGUGAGGUUGAUCGUCUCAAAUUCUUCCCAUUUUCUUCUUCUUGGAUAUGACCUCCUUGAGAAAUUUUGCAUACUUGGGCAUUUGUUGCAAUGCUUCAACAAGUGGGAUAUUCAUGUGUACCUUCCGAAAGAUCUCAAGGAAUUUAGAGAACUCACUCUCCGCAUUUUUCUUUUGAAGUCUUUGAGGAAAUGGAAUUGGUGGGUAAUUAGGUGGUGGUGCCUUGUACACGUCUUUCUUCUCCUCCUUGUCGCCUUGCAUUUUUGAAGAAAUGCUCUCAUAAUUGUUCUUGACUUCCGAGGAUAUCUUGGACUCUUCAAACAUCGUCCCACUUCUUAUAGUGAUAGCCUUGCAAUGUUCUUUUGGAUUCACAACGGAGUUACUCAGAAAUUGUCCUUUUUGAUGUUGGUUGCUUAAGGAUUCGGCAUUUGCCCCACUUUCAUCUCAAGUAUUUUCAAUUGAGUCGUCAAAAGAGCUAUCGAAUUCGAGCUUGUUGUAGCCGCCACUUUCUUCAAAAUAAUCCCCUCCACCGGAAAUUGGUAGCUAUUUGCGGCUAAAUCUCAAUGAUGUGGGCGGCCUCCUCGUAGCUUUUCUCCAACAAUGCUCCAUUGGCCGAUGCAUUCAUGUCUCUUUGCAUCUCACCACUACACCCGGUGUAGAAUACACAAAUGAUUGUGUUUUGAUCUAAGCCAUGGUUAGGGCACUUCCUUAGCAUCUCUUUGAAUCUUUCCCAAGCUUCAUAGAAGGAUUCUCCAUCAAAUUGGUGAAAUUGGACUAUGUCCUUCUUCAUCUUCAUGGUUUUACCCGGAGGGUAGAACUUGUUGAGGAACUUUUUAGCCAUCUUUUCCCAUGUAGUGAUAGACACACCCUCUAAAGAUUGAUACCAUGUCUUGGCCAUGCCCCUUAGUGAGAAGGGGAAGAGUCAAAGUCAAACGGCAUCCUCCGGGACUCCAUUUAUCUUGAUGGUGCCGCAUAUCUCCGAGAAGUUUCCAAGAUGUCCAUUCGGGUCAUCUUGAGAAAGACCGGCGAAUUGGUUUUGUUGCACUAUAUUUAUAAGGGCUGGCUUGAGCUCAAAAUUAUUGGCAUUGAUCCUUGGAGCAUGCACAUCUCCUCGUUAGGCCACGGGUUGGAACAUCUCGCUAAUGGGUGGUGGUGGUGCAUUCCUUUGAGCCUCUUGCUCAUUAAUUCGCCCUUGCAUGGCCUCCAAUUGUCUUUGGAGUUGGAGGAUCAAUUCUUGAUUUUUCGCCAUGUUUCCCUCCAAUUCUUUCUCUCUUCUCGCUCUUGCUUUGUUGUGUCGGCAAAAAGCUUCAACUUCAAGGUCAAUGGGUAUAAGAGGAGCACCCUUAGACCUUGUGUUCAUGCACUACCUACCAACCAACAAGAAACAACGAGUCAAGACACAAUCUUAAAAUUAGAAACAAAAAUAAAUCAAGGAAAAUGUCUAAACUAGUUAAGCACAAUGAUUCUGAAUAUCACAAGUUUUCGGGCUGCUCUGCUGCCUGGCAGCGACGCCGACAGCUGUUCGUUAUUAUUUUUACNAUAUAUAUUACGGCUAUUGGGGGGGCCUCUCCAGAGAAAACCCAUCACUGUUUGGAGAUAAGUUACAUAAAGGACUUACACAAUAGACUCUCUAUUAUUAGGUCUAGUAACUUUCCAGAUAGAAUCGUAUAAUAUAUUAUAUCUUUAAUUAUUGAUUUAUCUUGUUGGUCAAGUUAUUUUGUUUCCUUUUAGAUGUUUAGGGUUUUAUUAUAAAUAGGAGUUUUAUUUAUGGGAGUCGAAUUGAGAGUUAAAAUGUAGAGGGUGGGAUUGUUCCCUUCUCGCGGUGUUCUUCCGGUAUUCAUGAGUGAAUCAAUGGAUUAACCCUUAUUUACGUAUUCUGGGAUACAAUGGUUAUCAACGGAGUUCGUAUAUUUAUCAGUAUCAAAUAUAUUUCACGCUUCUACGUGCAUCAUUGGUAUCAGAGCCUUGCUACGCUCCUACGCGAUGUCUCCCCGUCAAUCAACCGUUCAGAAUGUUCAAGAUUAUCUCCAUCGUGAUGACGACCUUCUGUCUCAACAAUUCAUGGAAUUACGAGCACAGAAUCGAGAGAUCUUUGACUUCCUACACGGUCAAUAUGAUCGACCCUAUGCAGAACAUCAUCAAGGACGUUUCCGAUUCGAGGACGAAUCGUUUCAAGGAUGGAGAGAAUGAUGAAGAUAUGAUCGUAUAAUAUAUUAUAUCUUUAAUUAUUGAUUUGUCUUGUUGGUCAAGUUAUUUUGUUUCCUUUUAGAUAUUUUAUUAUAAAUAUGAGUUUUAUUUAUGUUUUAUGGGAGUCGAAUUGAGAGUUAACAUGUAGAGAGUGGGAUUGUUCCCUUCUCGCGGUGUUCUUCCGGUAUUCAUGAGUGAAUCAAAGAAUUAACCCUUAUUAUACGUAUUCCGAUAUACAAUGGUUAUCAACGGAGUUCGUAUAUUUAUCAGUAUCAAAUAUAGUUCACGCUUCUACCUGUAUCAUUCACCCUCGGUGAAAUGUUAGAUGAGGAUGUGCGUGCACACACCUUAGAUGUGAACCACAUUCACCAUGUAACGUUUUGAUAAAUAAGAAUCAAAUUAACAAGAGCCUACAACUUUUUUACGAAUUACACUCAAUAGUGUUUAUCUCACAAACACUUUUCUACUAGAACAAAUACAAGAACUAGUACCGGGAAACAAUAUUUCUAGUGUCAAGUUCGGAGGACCUAGUAGGAAACAAAAUAAUUCUCAACGGUGCAUUAAGCGAUAUUAAUCAAUUAAGGACGAAAUCCCCUAUCUUUUUUAAAGAAAGUAUGCAUUCUUAAUUAGUCUUUAAGUUAGAUAUCUUCUCUUGAAGCCCAAGAAAAAUACUUCUUUUGCGUGAAGGGUAACUAUUCUUUUGAAGAUAUGCACGAAAAUAUUUAUCCAUAUUCUAUAAUCUUAUCAGGUUAUAUUUUCAAUCAAAAGAAGGCCAGAGUUGAAAUAGAUAUAGAGUCUCACAGGGAAUACCUUGAAGUAUAUAUCCUAAAAAUCCCCUAUAAAUAAGAAAGUUGCCCGCUUGGAUCAAACAAGAACGUCAAUUUGUAUUAGUAACAGAAAUAGCACCAAAUACAAGAAAAACGGUCUAUAUAAGUAACAAACAAUUAAAGAGCAUAAACCAUAUACUAACAUCUUGCAUAAGUGAGACAGUGAGUCAUGGGCUAUGCUUGCAACUUCCCCAUUCUUCUUGGUUUCCUAGAUUUGGGGCAAUCUUAGGCAACAAUUGAUUUCGCCCUACGAAGACUCAUUAGAGGAACGACAUCAGCUCCUGACCAGCUUGUCCGCGUCUCGGACGUCUAUCCUUUCCUUAAUUCCUUUUCAUCCUUCUUAAGAUUAUCAGAAUCAGGUUGGUGCCCUUUCUUCAAAGUGUGCUCAAACAUACACCUUAUGAGUCUAUACGCACCGUCCACGUUGAUCCUCACCGCGGCUUUCCCCUCGCUGGCAAUGGGCAUGCGAGCGUGAAAUGGGCGUCGUGUGACAGUCUCCCACACUUGAUUCGUGAACGUCCCCGAACACUAUGUGCGCUCGAUAGAGACUCAAUAUAGAGGACUCUUUCUCCUUUGUCGGUCUAACAAGCGUUUGGGCAUUUACACAGCCCACGCGGUCACAUCGACUAGACAAGGCAAGGCACGAUCGUGACCUACCAGUGCUUCUCGAAGGGACUGAGGCUCCUGCUUGCCCAAAAACCUUCUGGCGGGGAGCAUCUCAUUCCACCCAUACGGAAUAACUUGCCUUCCUAAUCUGCACUAAUACCAACUGUCACACCAUACUUACAACUUCCACAUUCUCCUUAGCGUUUCCCAAGACUUAGAGCAAUCUUAGACAACAACUAGUUUCGUCAUGCCAAGGCUCAUCAGGGAACGACAUCAGCUUUCGACUAGCUUGGUGGCAUCUCAAACGUUUGUUCCUCGCUUAAUACCUUCAUCUUUCUUAAGAUUGGCGGAACCAGAUUGAUGCCCUUUUCUUCAGAGUGCACUCAAGCAUACAUCACGUCAAUUCACACGUAUCGUCCAUGUUGAUCCACGCCACGCAUUGUCCCUCAAUGGCAACGAGUAUGCAAGGGUGAAACGGCGUUGUGUGACAUUGUGUGAGUGAAGAAGAAAAGAAGUUGCAGCCACCACAGCGAAGAAUUCGCUCACAAUUUUUCCUUUUAUGUUAUAUAUUUUCAUUUAUUUUUAUUUUUGUUUUUUGAAAUCUUUUUUUUCUAAUAUGGGUUGCUUGCUCAAUAGCAGUUUCGGCUUUUAGUUUUUAUGCUUUUUGCUCCAUAUGUUUUGGGCUUAGACGAAAGUGUUUUGGGCUUCAAAUCAUACCUAAAAAUGGUAUUGGGCCACUAAGAACAAACUCUAACAGGAUUUAAUAGUAACCUAAAUAAAGCGUAUGAUAUUAUAAUUAGCAUGCUUAUAAUUUUUUUUUUAAUGAAAAUGCAGUGUGUUUAAUGAAUGUUUCGAAUGGAACUAUCUUUGCACUCAUACUAACCUCCUUAAUAAUCACUAAUCAACCAAAUUAAAAGUCAUCUUGUACUCAAGUUGGAAGGGGUAAGACUAAAGAAAAAAAGGAAAUUUACAAAAUACAAAGAACACAAUAUUAAAAGGCAGAAACAAAAAGAUUUCGCAAGAUUGCAAGAGCAACUAUAAACCAACCUCCAAUUUGUCGCUUUUCAUCACAAAUAUGACAAGCUACAUAUAUGAUUUGAUGGAACAAACAUUAAAUUACAAGAAAAAGGCAAUAUCUUAAACUAGGGAACAAAACUUGAAACAUGAUAUAGUUACUAGUUGGUGUAGGUAAAAAAACCUCCAUAGUAAACACUUAGAAACACAAAUUGAAUCGCUCUAUCCCUCUGGUAUAUACCAACUCAGUUGAGCCUCCUCCGCCGUGGGGCGCGAGAAUCUCCGCUAUCGACAUCGGAUAUUCUAGAAGCAUCGUUCCUCCUCCUUGAAGAGGAAGUAGAGAGCGCGACUGUGGAAUCGAUUUCUAUGGCAUUAUCCAUGGUUUGGCUCUCAGAGUGUAUGACAGCAGCAAUGCUGGACACAGAAUCCCUAUCAUCCACCACCGGUGGCGGCAGCUCUGGAUUCCUCUCCACCGGAUUGCUCUGGAAAUACGACUCAACGGCAGCAAGAGACUCGGCUGAGUUGAUUGCAGAAGUGAGGUUGGACAGCGAAGCAGCUCGAUGGGAGCUUGAUCUGCGAAGCAGCAGUGAUGUGAGACGACGAGUAUCCCUCUCCCUAUCCCUCUCAUAGUUUGGAGGGCUGCUCUCAGUUAGGUCAAUCACAUCAUCAAGUGGGAGCGUCGGAGUUCUCUCUCUGCGCAUCCCUCUAGAGGUCAAGAACCGGUUCAGUAAAGCCGUGCUUCUCUCUGGUGAGUCGCGGAGGCCAUCAGGGUGUCGGGAGUGUAUCUGAGCCAGCUCCCGGUUUAAGUCAAAGGCACUCCCGAGGCGCCUGAUCAUCUCCUCUACCGGAAUAGUGAAGGCGGUUGCAGUCCUCUGUAUAGUCUGCCUCCAGCUCUCAAUCCGCCGGGCGUGGGGCCUAAGAGGGAUCUUGAGGCUAGAAUCAAGAUCAUGGUCGCGAACAACAUUGCCACGGCCAUAUAUAGGUGUCACGUUUUUAGUGGUGACCUCUCCCUUGCACACAGGGCAUUCCUUGGCAUCAGAAUGGUGGUGCAACCAACGGUAGAGACACGGCCAGCAAAACAAGUGGCCGCAGCAAGUGACAACGGGAUCCUUGGCCAAAUCCAAGCAUAUGUUGCAAUCAAAGAAACUCCCCUCAUCACCACUGCUCUUACCACCAUCUUUCCUCUUGCCAAGAUCCUCGUCCUCCACAGAACCAGUCGCGUUCUCACAUAUCUUAGCUACCUCAAUAGGCCUCUCCUCGGACGCUACACUACCCUCACCAGUCUGACUCUCUGGUGCACUCCCACCAAUCAAUUCCAAAGCAAGGCUCCUAGUUUCCGGGGGAAUCGGGAGCUGCCUCCACAAUGACCGCCACCUAUGAUUUCUCUGCCUAACAGCUUCCCUAACACGAUGAACUGGACCGUCUAACCAAUCCUCCAAGUUCAUUGCAACGUUAGGAUAUGAUCCCAACGGAGGCUCACCCUCACCACCAUCACUAGAAUUAUCAACCGGCCCCAAAUUCAGAUCCAGGUUCAUUGUAUUAGCAUUCUCUUCCGCCAUUGUAAUUCACCAAAACAACAAAAAUUCUCCACGGAAUAACCCCAAAUUCAGACACCCAACUCCUCAAACUAAUGACAAGAAAGAAUUGCCCCAAUCUAUUGAAACCCUAACUUCAGCCAUGAACACAAAUACAUCGAGCCUCGAUAUCCAAUACCCACUAAUCAAACUGGCUCAUUAAACAGUUAAAAAAUCAAAACCCCAACUUCUAUUGCGAAAAAUGCUUAAAAGAAUCAAAAUUGAUUUUCCGGUCAGCAGAUGAAAGGGGGGGUAAUAACCUAGCUUAUCAAGGUCAACCAAAUCAUAAAACCCAGUGAAAAGGGGCAAAAGAAAACAAGCUACAGAGAUUGUAACCGACGGAAAAAUCUCCUUAAAACAAAAGAUUUAAUAGUAUAAAUUGACACUACAAACCUGCAAACAAAUUACGGGUUCCAUUUUCUGGAGGUAAACACCGUAAAGAUGCAGACUUUAUGCGGCAAACACAGGAAUUAAGAAAAAUUUAUGGAUCUGGGUUGUAUUAAUUUUGGGGGUUUGGGAGGGAUGAGAUGAAUUGUGUGAAUUUUGUUCAGCUCAGAACGAAGCUGGAGAGAGGCAGAGAGGAGAGAGGGGGAAAGAAAUAUUCUCUGCAAGUAGUAAUUCUGGUGUAGCUGUACAGCAGUGCGUGUGGGACCGCCUUAGCACCACGUCAGCAUUUAAUGUAAUGGGCUGAAUACUGGGCCAAUAUUUUUGAAGGAAAUAUUGGACAAGUUAAGCUUAGUAGAAAACCAAAGUUUCGACAUUCUAUUACGGUGUUGUUUUAAAUAUUUCUAUAUUUAGCUUGCAUAUUGAAAUUCUUAAUUGAACAGAUUCAAGGUCAAAGAGACAAAUGAACAAUGAAGCACAAAAACACUUAGUUCAUCUUCAUUGAAAACUUUAAGUUCACAAAGAUAGCAUUGAGAAGAACAAAAAUAUAAAGAUGAUGCACCUGCCUCAUCUUCAUUGAAACCUUCGAAUAGGUAACAAAUACCAACAAGUUUGUAGACUUUUAAGAACAAAAAAAAAUGAAGAUGACUUAUUUGAUUUUUAUUUUAAAAAUACUGCAAAUGACAGCUUAAUUUGUUGGAGCAUUUGAUCUUUGUUGACUAGAUCCAGCAUUAGUUUUAAUCCUUGUCCACGCUACAUGGGCUUCACUUGAUCCCGGUGUAUUAUAUAGUACAUCUUAAAUUUUAGUCCCCUUCUUUGCAAUGUUUCUUACCCUCAAGAUUUGGUCUGAACUUCUGUCUCCACCUCUUCCACUUCUACAACUACCUCUUCCAAUCCUGCCACCAUUUUCCCCCCUUGAACCACAUCUUCCCCUUGAAGAACUUGUUGAUGUGUUUGGCAUAUCUUUAUGUGGUGCUUUACUAGGUCGCUCAACCUUCCUUGAAUCCAACAAUUACCAAGAGACUUAGUUGUUAGGCCAAGUAUAAAAAAAAAAGUUAAAAAUAGUAUCAAUAAAAUCAUAAUGAAUUGAAGCAUACAUUUGAUUUAGGUAGUAUUUCAAUAGUUAAAAUUCUGGUAAUUUCUCCAAUUGUGGCCUGCAUCUCCACACUUCUUACAAUUCAUCACCAUCCCACCCCUUGACAGGGUUUCUGGGUUCCUUUUCACUAGCAGACCUCAAUUUUNUUUUUACUUAAACUUACCGGGAAGUCUACUUGCCUCAGGUUUCACUUUAAAUCCAUCAACUUGUGGUCACAUCUUCUAUCCUCUUCUUAGUUGCAAACCAUGUUCAUAUGUAAUUUCUCCACAAUGUAGUAUUCAUGCACAUAUUCUAGUGGAUAUGUCCCCAUAAUGUGAAUUGUAGAAACUGCAUGCAAACAAGGUUUACCUAUAAUACCUCACUUUCUACAUGAACAGGUUCUAAGCCCUAUAUUAACCACAAUCUUUUCUUGAAAAUGUGACACUUCAAACUUAUUAUACAAAUUUGGUUUAGGGAUGCAUUCCCCACCUUUCUUCCUUUAUUUUUCCAACUUCUUAAUUUCUAAUGUUUGCGCAAAUCCUAUAUGUCACUUUCAUCAUAUCAUCUCUCUUUUUGAUAUGUCUCACCAUCAAAUAAGACCUAAUCUCCUCACACAUAUGCAUAACAUGUGACCCUCUCGCAUUCAAUAUAUGUAUAUUAAAUGUUUCAUAAAUGAUGUUAAUUAUAUCACUUUUGACAAAGGUUGAAAUAAAAGCCUUGUGUAUGGCUCUACUGAUGAAGUCUUGAUAUGUUGCCUUUAGGGGGUGCGCAGAAACCCAACCGCAACGAAAAAAUCGACUGAACCGUAGCUUUUUGGUUCGGUGCGGUUCUACAUAUAUUGGUACGGUUUGCGGUUUGGUUUCUGAUAUGAAGAACCGACAAAAAUCAGUUCGAUUUCAAUUUUUUCAAUUUUUUUCGAUUGCGCACCGGACCGAACCGAUAUAUAUAUAUAUAUAUAUAUAUAUAUAUAUAUAUAUAAAAUAUAUUAUUUAUUUAAUAUAUAUAAUAUGUUUAACAUAGUGAAAUUUGAAAACUCCACAACCCUAAAGUAAACCCGCCCUUGCACUUCAUUCUGAAAUCUCAAAUUUGAAUCACUUUCACUCUUCACUCUUCAGUCACCCACCGGCGCCCCCCUCUCUCUCCUCCCUCGGCCGCUCGGCGACUAGCAGUAGGUCGCGUACCCACCGCGCUAGCCCGCACGACGCAGUAGCAGCAGCAGACAGCCACCUUCGCGACUCCGCCCCCGGCUCCGCAACCCUAGCGGAUCGCCGCUACCUUACCCCGGAGCCACCUCCCCCACCAGUGACUAGCAGCAGGCCACCUUCCCUUAUUUUACCCCACGAUUUUAUUCUUAUUUUUUAAAGAUGAUUAGAGAUGAUAUGAAUAUGAUUUUAGAUCUGAAAGUUAGGUAUAUUUAGGGGUAAAAGGUCGACUUUCAUUCUGUUCUUGUAAGAAACAAAAUUUGUAUGAUUUUAGUUGGAUGAAUUCAGGGGUUCAGAUUGUUUUCCAAUAAUUUUUUCUCGAUUUAGUUGGAUGAAUUUUUGGAGUUUAGCAAGACUUUGAAUAUAGGGGUUCAGACUGAAUUUAGUGAUAAAAUUUGUUUUUUUUUUGUUUUUUUUUUCGGAAAAAAAAAGAAGAUGAAACAGGCGGUUCGGUUCGGUUUUGAACCGAAACCGAUCGAUUUUGGCCGGUUCGAUUUUGAUCGAUUUGUAGCAUUUUAGCGGUUCAGUUUGGUUCGAAUUCUUAAGAGGUCGGUUCGGUUCGGUUUUGAACUGAUGCACACCCCUACCUAUACCUUCCACUAGAACUACGCUUGUAGUGUGUAGUAGGGAAACUUAUAAAUUUAUUUGUGUGAAGAGAUAAAUGACGCUCAUUGCCACAUAAAACUACAACAAAAGUGACUCACUUUGUUCACUCACAAUACACUCAUCUAAUAUUUACUAAAACUUGUGGCGGAGCUUGGUGUGCGCAUUAUUUCAUGGUGGAUGGAGUAUAUUGUUUGGUAGGAAAAAUUAUUUUUAAAAAUUGUGUGACAUUAAAUUCGAACCUGAGAAUCUUUGGCCUUAAGCAUGAAUUAUUUUGUCACUAGGUCAACACACACAAAUUAAUAGCAAAUUUUGUUAAACUAUUUUGUCAUAUUAAGGUGUGUUCACUUUAAUAGAAAAAAUUGAGUAGCAUUUUCCCUCCUUUGAAUUUUAGUUGAUUAUGAUAUUAUCAUAAAAUAAAUAAUAUUUUCACACACUUUCCUCAGAAAAUAUGAGAUACAAAGAAAAUAAUACUAAUAAAAUUAAAAUAAUUUUUUCUUCACCCAUUUUCUUAUAAUAAAUAUACCUUACCCAAAUAAUUUAUACAUAAAUAGAGUCUACAUUUUAGUAUUCUUGCACAGAAGGAAUUAAAGAUGUGGUUGGGAUUUUUUAAAACAGCGAAGGAAAAGAAAAAUGAAAGAAAAGAAGAGAUGAUAAUAAAGGUCCUAUGAAAGAAGCGAAAUCCGCGACAUGGCGGAUGAGCUUGUGCAAGCCACACUACUUCCCACACCCACACCCUUGUCCCUUUCAUCCAACUCUGCCUCUCCACCACCCCCUAAAUUUGUAACUUACAAUUUUACUGUAGACUCUUCUCGACGAGUACAACAACAACAAAACGAUGCCCAUAUUCAGUUGAACAACUAAAAUUCAACAUCAAUCUAAAAACCAACUAUUCUAUAUUUUUUAAAUUCUGCAACAUAUUUAUAGACUAAUAAUGUCUAUCUAAUUUCCAGAAUAUAACAUACUUUUGGUAUUCAUACAGAGACACGCCUAAUUAAUUUAUUUUGUUUUCAAAUUUAUAUAGAGCGAACUCAUUUUUCUGGUACAAGAUAUAUAAUCUCGUUGCUACAAUAAAAAUAAUGUCAAUGAUUUUUUUAUAAAUUUCCACGUCAAUUAGAAAUGGCCGCAGGUCCACGCAAAAUCGAAGCAUAGAGAAAUGUGAUCUAUUUUCGUAAAAAUAGAUAAAUUUAGAUGUAGGUAAGCUAAUUUUGAGAAUGCAAAAAAAGAAAAAAAGGAAAAGAAGAGAUAAUGAAAAUGAUAAAACGUACCACAGAAAGGCGCCACGUAGCGGAUGAGCCCUAACCAAACCCACAGACCACACACACUAUUUCUACAAAGCCUCUAUCCUUUUAAUUUCAGGAGAUCACAGAUUUCCUUUUCAUUUGUAUUUCUAAUUCCCCCACACACACUCCCUCUCUCUCUCUAACCUCUGAGCAAUGGCGAGCCUCGCAAGCACAAUGUUCAGCGCCGCCGUGGUCCCCCGCAAGCCGGCGAUGGGCACGACGAGCCUCCGGUCCCUCCCGAACCUGAAGCAGGCGGCUCUCUUCGGGCUGAAAUCCGGCGGGCGCAGGGGCGGAGCGACGUGCAUGGCGACGUACAAGGUGAAGCUGCUAACUCCGGAGGGAGAGGUGGAGUUCGAUUGCGCCGACGACGUGUACAUCGUGGACCAGGCGGAGGAGGCCGGGAUAGAUCUGCCCUACUCGUGCCGCGCGGGGUCGUGCUCCUCGUGCGCCGGCAAGGUCGUCAGCGGCAGCGUCGACCAGUCCGACGGCAGCUUCCUCGACGACGAGCAGAUGGACUCCGGCUGGGUGCUCACCUGCGUCGCCUACCCAACCUCCGACGUCGUCAUCGAGACUCACAAGGAGGAGGAGAUCGCCUAAUUCAUCAUUUCAUUUCUCUCUCUCUCUCUCUCUCACAUGAGUCACGGACUGAUUUCAUAAUAAGUAAGAUACAAUUUGUUUUGUUGUAUAAUUUUGAUUUAAACGUCUUUGCAACUCCACUUGUUUCUCAUAUAUGUCUUCUCUCUCUCUUCUUUUCGUGUCUAUUUCUUUACUGUUAGCUGACGAUGUUUAGUUCUAAAGAUAUCCAUCCGUCUCAAGUUGUUAAAUUAUCUUCAUGGAUUCAUGGCGUUCAACUUCGCUUUAAAUCUUAAUUAAGAUCUAUAUUGUUUCAUAUUUUUAUAUGCUGCGUAUAUACUUUUGAUGAAAAUGGUGAAAAACAGAUUUUCACUCUUUUCAAAUAUUGUGUGGAGUGGAUAAUUUUAAUCGGUUAGCUAGCUUGAAAUCUCUUUUUCCUCCCUUUUCACGAUAAUAUUGUUAGGGGUGUUUACUUCGCAUGAUUGAUAAUAUGAAUAAUUGAGUAUUUUUUUAUAGGAUUACUUCAAUUCUACCCUUUUGAUGGGAUGCAAAAUUAGUUUACAUGAUAAAAAUAAUUAAAAGUAUAGGAAUAUGCUAAGUGAUUAGCAUUACUAUUUUUACCUGUCAAAUUCAAAGCUAAUCCUUCAAAGUAAACGCUCCCUUAUAGGAUAAAAUUUGUCCAUCUUUUAUAUUCUUUCUCUUUUACGAUAAAUUUAUAAUUAAAGAAAAUACAUGCAUAAGAUUUUUGCAUAUGAACGGAUAGAAUGGGUGGGGUUAAAAUAAAAAUCUUCUCAUUAUAAGAACGAAAAUAGUUGCAUGGAUAUGCACUACGAUUAUGCACAAAAAUAUAGUAGUAUUAUAAAUAGUUGCACGCCAAAUUCUAGAGAAAAUCAAGAGACCUUAUGUUUCAGAUUCCCAGUUUCUUUUUCUUUUAAAAAAAUGGAAAUAGUAAAUUCAGUAUUCGAAUUUCAAAAGGAUUUGAUUCGUUUUGAUUAAUUCCAUUAGCAUCUUACUAUUACCAUUUUCAGAUAGUUGUGUUUUCUGCAUUAAAUCUGGUGCAUCUUAAGAGCUGUUUUCAAAGGCAACCAUUGGUGAUACCUAAACAUUCAACAUCUCAAUGUAGUUCAAACAUUCAAAUUAUUGAGUACAAACUCAAAGUUAUCCAAUCCAUUCAAGCAUGUAUCAAACUAACCCAUAUUAGUAUUUUUUAUUUAUACAAACUAUUUUCUAAAGUUAGCAUCCUCUUGUGCGGUGCCCACGAAGAUCAAAGUUUACAACUACCACACAUCGACACGACAAAAUUCUAGAUAUGUUUUGGACCACGGGACCAUAGGAAAAGGUGUAUAUAAUGCAAAUUUAAAAAAUUAAAAAUCAUUAAUUUUCUUUUCAUAAAUACAUAAAGAAAAUUGAGGAGAAGAGCAACCGGAAAAGUUGUAACAAACAACGAGAAAGCAUAGAAAAUUCAAGCACAAGAGAGACAAAUUAUAUAUUACAGACAGAAAUGUUACAACACAGCGAAUUUGUCCAUGAAAACCUUCAGUUGCCCAGAAACAUAAAAAUGAUAGGAAGAAAAUAAAUCAUAAUCCACCAUUUGGUUAACUAAGUUACCUUCCUAUCGUCACAAUUGUCUUGCAGCUUAAGUGAAAGUUAAUGAUAAUCAUGGUUUUGCCCCAUUAAUAGUCGGAGCAACACCUCUGGUUGUCUUCACGUAGGCAACAUACUCGCUGUACUGCAUGGUAAAUAGCGUGCUUUGGUAACGGGUAAGCUGGAUGCGCUUUCGCAGUUGCCCGGUGAGGGUCCCACUAUAACCCGCCUUUCUCAUCAAUGAAUCAAUUGCUUCGACCUUUGUCCAGCCUUGCAUGAUAAGCGAAAUGAAAUAUCAGAAACUGAAAGCAGAGGAAUUCGGAAAUCAAUCUAUAGCCAAAUCUGUCCGUGUCAAUCCAGUAAACGAGAAUAAGCAAUGCAAAUUACCUUCAUGAGCAGCAACCUCGGGCAAGUAGGUGGCACUUCGCCUUGUAUUGUAGUCGGGAUCAGUAAAUUCAAUAAUUAUUCCGUGCUUCCCAACCUGGAUAAACACAAAUUUGAUAGAACUAGACAUCAGGUCCAGAAUCAAGGAACUACUCUAUGUUGUUUAAUAUAUAUAUUUUUUUAAAUCAUCUAUUUUGCUUAAUAUUGAGCAAGCAAUUCACUGAUCGCAUUAAUGAGUUUCAGAAGUUAAUGAAGUACAUAGCCAUUAAAAGGGGGAAAUUGCGACUAAAAUGCCACUUAAAAUAUAGGUCCUUCCAAAUGAACAAUAAGGAUUAGUUCUGGUUUGCAAGCAAACAGGUGACUCGAUUACCCAGUGGGCAAACACAUAUUUAGUAACAGUCAAAUGUUCAUUAUAGCACUGACCUCCCAGUCAAGGUAGUCACGAGCAGUUUCAUAAUUAGUCAGAAUGGAAACUGUACAUUCUAAGGAAGGCAGUUCUUUAGCUUGUAUUGGGGGAAAUCGCCGAUCCCUGAGGGCACUGAAAUAUAGAGAACAAGAAAUCAGAAAACAAUGCUCUCCAAGAUUUUCAGGACUAAAAUUAAAUGUCAAAUGAAGUACAAUUCAUCAAUUUCAACAUAAAAAAAUUAGAUACAAGCCACAUAAAUAGUCAAGAUGUCAAUGUGACGUACCAAAAAAAUUGUAACACGAAAACAUGAGAUGCAAAUUUACGUUCAAAUAAUAUUUUCAAGAGAAUAACGGCCAUAUAACAUAGAGGAGUUUAGAAGUUACUUAGAUUAAUGUAUGUAAUAGAGCUAAAGAGUAACAAAGAAAAGAGCCAAGAAAAAAUCACAACCUAAAUACAGAAAGGAACAUACAAUCCCAUACAAAGUGCAUAACAAAAUCAUCAAACACAAAGAUUGUUCAUAAAAGACAACUCAGAUGCCUGAGUAAUAAAGAGCACAUGGCAUACUCUUGGUACUUGAAGUUGAAAUAUUGUUUUAAGUACCUUGUCAAAGCAUAGUCCCUGAAACCAUUAACUAUGCAGCGAGCUUCCAAAGUCCCUAUGCAUCCACGUAAACGAGGUUCCCCACCAUUGAUCACUUUCUUCCAGGUCACGAACAGUGGACUGAAACAGAGUUUAAUGUGUACAAAGCAUAAACUAUACAUCGAAAAUUUCUUGUUCUACCAUAAUCUUACUAAGCCAGUCAGUUGAAAGCACUAAACAUUCUUUUAGUGACUAAAACAAAAAAUCAAAAGACUCAAAGAAAAUAAAUGAGUAAUACACUAAUACCCCAACAUACUUUUGAAAUCAUUAGCUAGCUAUUCUCGAUUGAUCUUCGUCCCAGGAAAAAAUAGGCUGACAACAUAUUAACCCAAAAAAAAGGAAAAAUAAAAGAAAACGGAUAAUAGUAAGAAUCAUUGCCCCUGCAAAGCACCUGCAUCAGUACUCAAAGAAAGUCUCAACACUAGCACAAAAUCAACAAAUUUAUCAAUGGAAACUUUGUAAUUCCAAAAUAACAUACAGUUGCAUAUAUAAACAGGAGUGAUUAAUAAAAAAACCCAAUCCAGUUUAGAGUCAAACUCAUCACAACUCAGAUGGACAAUAAAAUAUAAGCUCAAAUUAAGCGAAAACGAUUCCAGAUGCACAUGAAAACGCAUAAUCACGUAUAAUACACACACACACGCCAAAAAUUACGAAAUUAAGGAGACAAAUUAAGAUGAAAUCCGUACUGUUGGCCCUCAUCGAAGGCGGGAGGAGGAGCCUCCUCAUUGUUGUAGUGCGCCACCAGUGUGUCGAAGCAGUACGCCACCAUCUCCCUAUUUGCCGACACCAUUCUGUUAAAUUUUAAAGCAAAAUUCGUGUAACAACAGCAAAAAAAUUAGAGAUUGAAUUUGAUCGGUGGGAUUACGAUCGAAAACCGAAUUGGGGGUUAGAAAUUAGAGAGAAGAAUCGAAAGAUGAAAGUUUUAGGGUGUCGAAAUUGGAGAUGGAUGGAGUGAGGGACUCUCUUUCUGCCUUUUGACGCUUUUCCGGGAAUAAUUGAGCUUUUGUGAAAGUAACUAUCUUAUAUGAAUCGAAUAGGAUUGAGAGACGCAUAAUUGUUUCCACUAUUAUAUUUAUUGUUUUUUAUAAAUAUAUUCAAUCUUAUUGGAUAAAUGAGUAUUACUUUUCGACUCAUUGUUUCGUCAACAAUAUAUUCGCAUCACCAUUUUGAAGAAGAAAAUAUAAUAUUUAGUUAUUAAUUAAAAAAUAUAUAAAAUUUGAUAAUUUUUUUAUAUUUUAGAACUAUUUUGCCCUUAACUAAGACAGACCAAAUUCGGGUCGGAUUCAUAUUUGCGCGCAGAUUAGGCACACAUGAUACUAUUAGUGUCAUUAAUGUCAUAUACUCAGUGCUGCACGAAUGGUACUUAUUGUCAUAUUAGUAACAUUAGUGUCAUACGAAUGAUACUUAUGGCCAUAUUAGUGUCAUUAGUAAUAUAUAUUCGUGUGUUAAUAUUAUUUAGAUGAGUAUAGUUAUAUGAUCAUUUUGAACACUUCCCCGUAGAGUUUAGAUUCCCCAUUUAGGGUUUAAUUUUUCCAUUUAGUGCGAUGCACGAAUGGUACUUAUGGUCAUAUUAGUUCCAUUAGUGCCAUAUACUCCCUUAUGUAGUAUUGCACGAAUGGUACUUAUGGUCAUAUUAGUGCCACUAGUGCCAUAUACUUAGUUUUUUUUUCGGUGCCAUAUGUGCCUAACCCGUGUGUAAAUCUGAAUUCUACCCGAAUUCGAUCCACCCUAAUUAAGGGCAAAACAAUCUUUACACGUAAUAAAUAAUUAGAUUUUGUGUUUUUUCAAUUAGUAAUUAACCAAAUAUUGUGUUUCCUUCUUCAAAAUGUCUAUUUCAAAAGCGCUAUCUUUUGUAAAACUAUUUCAAUCUAAGGAUAAUUAUAAGAUAUUACUAAUCAUAGUAUUUCUUUUUUAUUUGUGGACCGCAAAAAUAUUUUACGACUGAAGUUUAAAGUGUUUCAGCGAUCAUCACCUUAUCAAUACGCGUGGACUAUUUAGAUGAAGUGAUCAUUUCAUUAGAAAAAAAUCACAUAAUGAAACACUCAAAAGAAAUUGUAAAUCAUAAACACAUUACGUGAAUAGCAGAGGUGAGCACACCAGAAAACCUCAUCUGCAAAUAACCCUAAAAAAACUUGGAAAUUUAUAAUUGUUCGAAAUCUGGGAGAAAUUUGAAUUAUUGGAAAGUUCUCGAUUUAAGGUUUAUGUGGUCGAGAGGAUUUGGCUGAUCCUAAAUUGUUUGUGACACCGAUUCUGCUUUUGUGAAGAAGAGUGAUGGCUGAUAGUGAUGACGACUCGGUGUAUUCAAAAUUAAGAUAAUAUUGUAUUCAUAAAGCAUGUUAUUUGGUGAGAUCAUUAUUCCCCAUGAUUCGAGUAGGAGGUUUUGGAGAUGCUCUCUUAGAGAUACGGUUUGUAUUAUUAUUUUUUAUGUCUUUUCUUUGAUAAUUCAAUAAUUUGUCGAAAAUAAAAUAAUGUCUUGUGAUUAGCAAGGUGGUUGCGGCUACUUUCAGUUGGCAGAUUCUCCGUUUGAGGGAAGAGCAAAGGUGGCGCUCCUUGAUUGCAUAUGAAAAAGCCAUAGAUUAGUGGGGAAAAAUCUGUCGAAAAAAUUGGAGAAUUAAGGGACGAGUUAGAGGCGAAGAUUAAAAAAUAUCGAGUGAAGAACAAGUCAUUACGGCAAGUGGUGAAAAAGACGAAGUCUAGAUUUUACACAAUGUAUUUAAUUUGUAUAGUACAAGUCAUUAAAGCAAGUGGUGAAAAAUAUCGAGUAGAGUUUGCAUCGUCUAGCUUAAUCAAGUUGAUGUUUCCUAUUAUGAACAAUCCAUGCAUGAUUUUCUUGGUAUGAAUCCUAAUAUUCUUAACUUGGUUUCCUAAUAUUUAUCAAAAGCCCAUAGAUUUUAUUAAAUGUUUCUAUAUUCUUUUCAUUAUUCAGUACAUGUUUGAAUAAGAUUGCAAAUUUUGUAAUGCGGGCAAUUAGGAUUACAAACUGAAAGAAUAGAUGAACUCCAAUUAUAGCAUUAAGUGCAUCUCCAACGGGGUGUGAGAGCUCGGCUCGAGUCAUCGCACUGGCAAACCCCAGGCUUGAGGUCCAGCUCCAACGAUCGCACCCAGCUCUACGACCAUUGUGUACGGUGAGUGCUUGCAUAAGCCUUUAAUUAAAAAAAAUCAAAAAUCAAUUUAAAAUUUUGAAACUUUGAAUUUUUUAAUUUUUUUUAGAAAAAAUCAAAGUGUUCGCAACGGCCUUCUUCCAACUUCCUAAAAACUUCCUAAAAAGUGAGAGAGAUAGAUGAAGGGUACAAUUGAUACAAAAUUGAUAGUUCAAGGUUUAAAAAAUUAUUUUCAAUAGUUAAGGAUAUAAUUGAUAGUUGGAAAAUAGUUUGAGGUUUAAAGUGAUAUUUACUCGAUUUAUAUCUUCAUAAACAUGUUUCUUUAUCAUAUGAUAUGGGUUAUAAUAUUUUCAGAUUACGAUUGAGAGUUAUAUGUGGUUAUUUUUUUAGAUUUACUUAAAUGAAACUAUUAAUUUAUUAUAAAUUUAAUUUAAUUUAGAGGUUAUGAAGUAUAGGGUAAAAUAAUAAAUUUUUAAUUAUUAUUUUAGACAGAAGACUGUAAAGAGUAAAAUGGUGGUUAUGCAUCCCCUAAAAGAGGAUCUUGGGCUGAAAUGGACUGGGCCCAUAUAAGGAUUAGGCCAUGCCAUUGAAUAAAGUUGAGACCAAUUCGUUUUUACUCUAUACUACUCCCUCCGUCCGCCAAAAAAUCCCACAAUUACUAUAUUUGGCGUCCGUAAAAAGUAUUCUAUAAUUACUAUAUUUAGCGUCCGCAAAAAGUAUUCCACUUUCCUUUUUAAGUCAUGGUCCCACCAUCCACCUUUAUAUUUUAUCCUUACAAACACUCUUUAUUUACAAAAAAUUCACCCCAAAUUCAAUCUUAACCACACAUCUCAUAAAGUGGUGGGACAUUUAUACCACUACAUCAACAUCAUCUCCAAUUUUAUUAAACUCUGUGCCCAGCCAAAGUGGAAUACUUUUGGCGGACGGAGGGAGUAUAUUAAAAAACUAAUAUUUUAAUUUGAAAUCAAUUUCAUAUUGAUUUUAUUAAUAUUCAACUCAUAUAUUUAAAUAUUUAAUAUGUUUUUCAGUUAGUAUCAAGUUUUAUUAUUGUGAAUUCUUCUUUAUUUUUUUAAUAUUCAACUCAUAUAUAUAUAUUCAGUUAAAAUUAAUUACUAUUAUAUUUAUAAAUAUGAUAAUUGAGUUGGUAUCAAUUUCAUAUAAAUAUAAAAAAAUAUAAAAAUGUUUCUUGUACAUUGGCACGAUUGCAAAUGAUAGUUUUGUUUAGAGCAUCUCCAACGCGGUGUUGAAGACCCGCGUCGAUCUGGGGCGAUGGAAGAAGCGCCGCAUUGGAGACCUCGGCUGGGUCGAAGCCGGGGCGAAGGCUUUGGUUGAGAGAUUCGUGCGCUACACGCACACGGUUUAAAUAAAAAAAAUGAAACAAACAUGGAGAAGAAACGAAACUUGAGAGAGAGGAAAAAAUUUGGGCUGGAAAUCAGUUGCAGAGAGAGGGAAAAUUUUGGAGAAGACGAUGGGGGAAGAAAAGGGUAGGUGGGUAGGUGUUUGACUUUUGAAAAAAAUAUUUUUAAUAUGUUUUAUUUUAUUUAUUAUUUUUGUUUUUUGAGUUUGAUUUGAUUUUUUAUUUUGAUUUUUUAUUUUUUAAAAUUUUAAAAUUCUAAUUUUUUUAUCAUAAUUUUUAUUUUUUAUUGUAUUUUAAUUAUGUCUUUAAUUUUAUUUUAAUUAUUGAAUUUUAAUUUUAAUGAAAUUUGGAAUUUAAAAAUAAAAGUAUAGAAAUGUGAAUUUUUGGGAAAUGGGGAUUUAAGACCCACUCUAAGUGGUCGUUUGGUUCGAGUAGAGGAAUGAAAGGGAAUGAAAUCAAAUAAAGGGGUGAAAUGGAAACAAUAAGCAUUACUUUUAUUGAGUGUUUGAUUUAACAAUGAAAAGAAAUCAUUAGUAAGGGAUUCUCUUUAUUUUGUUUCCCCUCUAUUUUGAGGGGUAACAAAUCAGGUGAUUGGAUUACCCGGCCCUAAGUAAGGGUAAUGGUUACCUUAUUAUCCAAACCAAACAAUGGGUAAUGGAUUCAAUUGAUUGAUUCAUUUUUAACCUCCAAAAACACUCAACCAAACAUGGGCUAAGACACAAUGCAUUGAAAAUGGGUGGGUCUUAGGUGGGGCCACCCCUUCUAAGACCCAAUGUAUUGGAGAUGCUCUUAUAUGAUAAUCAGGAUUUAAAUAAAUCUCAAUUAGGACUUAGGAGUUAUUAACUCUAAUUAAAACUCUAAGUUAACUGGAACUAUCAUUAAAGACGGUCACAGAAGUUUUUGUCAUUCAUUUUACAUUCAAAAGAUCUGAGCCAAUCCAACCCAAUUUGACGAUCGUUUUAUAAUAAUAUUCUAUAUUCUAUAAUAAUAUUUUGGAUGUUUCAAUCCAAUUUGACUAUCGUAUUAUAACAGUAUAUUCUAUAAUAAAUUUUUGGAUGUUCCAAAUGCCAAUCCAUCCCCACCCAACGCAACCCUCGAUUUAUAAUGUAUUCUAUCUUCUAAAAGAACCCUCGUUUUAUAAUGUGUUCUCUAAUUUUUUUUAUUUUUCAUUUUUAAUAAUAAUCCAUUGAGCUUGCGCGGCAUGUUAUAAUACAGACAUAAUAGCUGAAAUAUUAUUUGAAGUAUAGAAGUUGUUUCUGUACAUUUAGAUGAAGACAGUUUUGAGAAUUUGUUGUUUAUGUACAUUUGUUUCUGUACAUCUGUUGUUUCUGAAGAAGUUGUUUCUGUACAUCAAUUCAUUUGUAAAAAUUUGAGAAGGCAGAGAAUCACAUCAGGUGAGAUUCAACAAUUUGUUCAACUCAUGCCUUUGUGCUUGUGAUGAAAUAACUGCGUUGAAUCUUGAAUUAAAUGAUUUUGUAGAUACUGCUUUUUUGCUUUAUGACUUGGCCAGUUAAAUUUAGUAGGGGUAAUUGCCUGUAAAUUCAUAACGUUUACUCGGAAUUGGUUUUUGCUCCCAUUUUCGAAGGUGUGGCCCCUAAAUACAUAACCUUUUAUUUUGUCUCGUUUUUAUCCUAUCACCGGUUUUUUCUUACGCCGGCGCCGGAAAUUACACCGUGGCAGCCGGAAUUGACAAGGUGGCAGCCGGAAAUUGACACAUGGACAUAUUAUUAACAUGUGGAAUAAAAAAAUAAAAUAAAUAAAUAAAAACAAAAUCCCCCCCACCCCAUCGUCUUCUUCCCCCUUUCUCCUUCCCCCCACCUGCCGCUUCCACCACACGCCGACGAAGACGUGCCCGGCCGAGGACGCCACCCCUUUCGUCCGUUCACCUCUCUCGCGAGCUCCGUUCACGAACGAUAUUUUUUAGUAGCAUAGCAGGCGAAAGGGUAGUUCAUAGGCGAAGGAUACUUCGCUGUCAAUUUGUGAAAAUCAGUAGAGAGGGAGGCGGCUGCUCCCCACCGGAACUCCAGCGGCGGCGGAAGACGUUACCUGAGAAUGAGGGGUGUGUGAGACGAGGGUGGNNNNNNNNNNNNNNNNNNNNNNNNNNNNNNNNNNNNNNNNNNNNNNNNNNNNNNNNNNNNNNNNNNNNNNNNNNNNNNNNNNNNNNNNNNNNNNNNNNNNNNNNNNNNNNNNNNNNNNNNNNNNNNNNNNNNNNNNNNNNNNNNNNNNNNNNNNNNNNNNNNNNNNNNNNNNNNNNNNNNNNNNNNNNNNNNNNNNNNNNNNNNNNNNNNNNNNNNNNNNNNNNNNNNNNNNNNNNNNNNNNNNNNNNNNNNNNNNNNNNNNNNNNNNNNNNNNNNNNNNNNNNNNNNNNNNNNNNNNNNNNNNNNNNNNNNNNNNNNNNNNNNNNNNNNNNNNNNNNNNNNNNNNNNNNNNNNNNNNNNNNNNNNNNNNNNNNNNNNNNNNNNNNNNNNNNNNNNNNNNNNNNNNNNNNNNNNNNNNNNNNNNNNNNNNNNNNNNNNNNNNNNNNNNNNNNNNNNNNNNNNNNNNNNNNNNNNNNNNNNNNNNNNNNNNNNNNNNNNNNNNNNNNNNNNNNNNNNNNNNNNNNNNNNNNNNNNNNNNNNNNNNNNNNNNNNNNNNNNNNNNNNNNNNNNNNNNNNNNNNNNNNNNNNNNNNNNNNNNNNNNNNNNNNNNNNNNNNNNNNNNNNNNNNNNNNNNNNNNNNNNNNNNNNNNNNNNNNNNNNNNNNNNNNNNNNNNNNNNNNNNNNNNNNNNNNNNNNNNNNNNNNNNNNNNNNNNNNNNNNNNNNNNNNNNNNNNNNNNNNNNNNNNNNNNNNNNNNNNNNNNNNNNNNNNNNNNNNNNNNNNNNNNNNNNNNNNNNNNNNNNNNNNNNNNNNNNNNNNNNNNNNNNNNNNNNNNNNNNNNNNNNNNNNNNNNNNNNNNNNNNNNNNNNNNNNNNNNNNNNNNNNNNNNNNNNNNNNNNNNNNNNNNNNNNNNNNNNNNNNNNNNNNNNNNNNNNNNNNNNNNNNNNNNNNNNNNNNNNNNNNNNNNNNNNNNNNNNNNNNNNNNNNNNNNNNNNNNNNNNNNNNNNNNNNNNNNNNNNNNNNNNNNNNNNNNNNNNNNNNNNNNNNNNNNNNNNNNNNNNNNNNNNNNNNNNNNNNNNNNNNNNNNNNNNNNNNNNNNNNNNNNNNNNNNNNNNNNNNNNNNNNNNNNGAAGGCUGAAGCUUAUGGGUUAUGGCACAUAAUAAAGAAAUGAAGAUAAUUUUAACUGUAAAUAAUUUAAAUGGUGGUGGAUCUAAAAUAACUAGAUUUACAUUGAAGAAUUUCCAAAAUCAUAAUUUCUUUGUACUAAUAAAUCUAACAAAAUAUUAAACUAGUUUUGUAGAUCUAAAAAAAUGUUCGACUUAAUCGAUGGAUUCUACGGUAAGGCGAAAUAAGAAAAUCAAAAAUCAAAACUUUCAAAACACCCAAAUAGCCUGCCGCCUUACCUUUGUUGCGAACUUGGGCGUUGAAAACGGCUAGGUGAGGCCGGCGGCGCGCCGCAAUCGCGCACUGCAGCUGUUGAUCGAAGGAGAUGGGGCGGGGCGAGCCGGCGAGAGCUGGGCAGCGCACUGCAGUCUGCUGCUGUACUACCUGCUUGGCGCUUGCAGGUCGCAGCGCUUGGACAGAGAUGUAAGAGGCGGCGAGGCCGUGGCCACGGGAAAUCCGAGGAGGCGGGGGCGGCGGCGACCGGCGGACGGCAGAGAGAGACCGAGAAAGAGUAAAAACGGCGGGCGGAGUGAGAGAGAGCGAGCGGCUGAUAGACGGUAGUUAGAAGAAAAGACAAAAUCAGAAACCUAUUUCUAAUAGAGCCUCAAAUCAGAAUGGCCCUACUGGGCAUACAAAAUCAAAAUUUAGCCUCAAAUCUUAAAACAUAAAAUUUUGGCCAUUUUUUAGGUGGUAUGACUAACUUACCCUUCCAUCUCCAACCCAUCUCCAACCAAGUAACAGUACGUGUGAUCCAAGCUUCCCUCUCUCUCUCGCACCCUCUCUUUCGCGCUCUCUCUCUUCCGCGUCAACGAUGAACGGCAGAAAUCGGUCGUGAUUCCGGCGGCGUGCUUCCCUCCUCUCUUUCUCUUCCGCGUCGAUGAAGAGCAGAAAUCGAUCGCGAUUCUAAUUCCGGCGGCAUGCUUCCCUCCUUCCUCGGCGGCGGCGGUGGAUCUGAUCUGAUGAGGCGGCGACGGUGGAUCUGAUCUGAUCGUUGCGCCGCCUCCUCCACUCGGCAGAUUCGAUCUCCGCCUCCUUCGAUUUCAGCCAUCGACAGAUCUGAUCUGAUCUGAUCUGAUCUGUGCUGCACGUAUGGCACUUAUGGCACUAAUAGUGCCAUAAGUGCCAUAAGUGCACACUUCCCCCUAGGGUUUAGAUAUUCCAUUUAGGGUUUAGAUUAUUCAUUUGGGGUUUAGAUGUUCCAUUUAGGGUUUAGAUUAUCCAUUUAGGGUUUAGAUGUUCCAUUUAGGGUUUAAAUGAUGUUGUUGUUUCUGUAUUUGUGCUGAUGACCAUUUUACUUAGUUUUAUUUUGAAUUUCGUUGGCACUUAUGGCACUAAUAGUGCCAUAAGUGCCUAACCCGACCCGGCACGCGACCCGCGUGCCUGAUCCUACCCAGUCCGCCUCAUUAAGGGCAAAAACGUCCAAAUCAAUAAAAAUGACCAAAAUUUGUGUUUUUUCAAUGUGUGGCCAUAAAUUGUGUUUUAUGCUUCAUUUUGGCUACUUCAAAAUUUUACUCUUUCUAAUAUUCUAUCUUAUGAAAGUUAUAAGGUAUCGCAAAUUGUAUCUAAUUACUUGAUUAAAAAUAAUUUACUUUAAUGAUGUACAAAAAUUAUUUAUUUUAAUCAUUUAUAAACAUAAAUGAAGUCCAAAAUUAUUUAUACACUAUGUUUGCAAUUGAAUUUUGAAACAAAAAUGUAAACAUAUUUUUGUAUAUAAAAUUGUUUGUACACUUUAUGUUUGUAAUUGAAUUUUAAUAUAAGUGUAUACGCAUAUCUAUACUAUAUUAAAAAGGCAGUUUUCAAUUGAAAAUCAAUUUUAAAUUAAUUUCAAUGGCAAUUUUGUGAUUUCCUACAAAAAUAAUGACUUAUUGUAUAUAUUCAAAAAUUGAGUAACUAACUCAAUUAAAAUUGCAUAACCCAUAAUUUAAAAAAAAAUGCACACCCCACGUUUAAAAAGAAAAAUUGCAUAACCCACGUUUAUAAUUCCAUAAUGAAUUACUCCAUGUGUAUAUAUACACAAUUUAUUAGGCAUUGGUUAUAAAUAAUUAAUAAAUUUAUAUUUAUAUAAUAAUCUAUACUAUAUUAAAAAGGGAGUUUCUAAUUUGAAAUCAAUUUCAAUGGCGAUUUUGUAAUUAAAAGUUUAUUUAAGAGCAAGAAUUUCAGCAGUAAUGUGAACAUAAAAAAAAACUGCCGUUUGGUGAUAAAUCAUGUGUCCCGCUACUUUUUUAUCAUCUCACAACAAAUUUUAAAAAUUGUGAAUAUAUAAUAUUAAAUUUAUAUUCAUCACAAGCUUUGUGUUCCAUUUAUAAAAAGUGAAAAUAUAGUAGUAUUGUUUUAUGUUUUGCUAUUUUUUUCUCUUAUGAACCAUUAUUUUGCUCAACGUUAUGCUAUAUUUUGAAAGACAAAAAAAUGCCACUCAAUCCUCUCAAAUUAACAAUGUUAAAAAUUUAAAUUCAUUUGUUUUUAGGUAAGGAAUAUAUAUAAUAAUUCAUAAAGUUGAAAAUAAGUUAUAUAAGCCCACAAAUAUUAACGUCUAAAUUAUAAAUAUAUUAUUUAUUUAUUUUCACAAUUGUGAAAAAAAAAUAGCCAAACAUAAUUUAACUAUAUAUACAUAUAUAUAUAUUAGGUAAUGACAAUUGUAAAUAAUAAACAAGGUUUAUACAUUAAAAAUUCAAAUAAUACACUUAAAACAUAUUUUGCCACACGAUGGAGUAAUAUUCUUAAAUGUCCCAACAUGAUAUUAAAAUAAAGUAGAGAUAAUCAAGUUACAAAAUAUAGCUGAUAUUUUCUUACUUAAUUAAAAUGAAUACUUAAAUAUUAGUUUUCAACUUUGCAUUAUGAUUAAAAGAUUUAAAUAAGUUACUUAUUUCAUAUUUUAACUUGACUACUUUUUUUUAAUAUUAUUACAGUUUAAUUCUGCAAUCAAUUUAAAUAGGGGAGAUAAAUUGACUAAUUUACUACAACUACAAGGAAUGGUUAGAUAUGAUGAGUGUGGGCUACGUACAUUCCUAUUUAUUUUAUCUUUUGAACAGGACUACCUACUUCUAUGAUUUUAUUUUGUAGGAGUAUAAUUUGAUACAUAAUUCAUUUUUCUUUAGCCUCUAUUUAAUUAAAUAAUGAAAAUAAUAAUGAAUGUUAUAAAAUUAUGCUUUCUUAAUACCACUACGUGGAUUUAGACGUUUUAAUAUAAAUUUUUAAAAUUACAUUAUUUUUUACCAUUCAUAAUUUUACAUUUAUGUAUUUGUACAUUUUAAUUUUUUGUGUUAUUUUUAAUAUAAUAUAAUGGCCGUGCAUGGCACGGUGGGCAAAUGCUAGUUUAUAAUAUAUUAAGAAGAUAAUUUUCAAUUUCAAAUUGAUUUCAAAAUUAAUAAGUAGCAAUUUUGUAGUUAUAAAAAAUUGAAGUUUUAUUUGUAUAAUAUAAUUUUUUCUUUGUGUUCUUAUUUUUUAAUAUUAUUUCUUUCUAAAAUUGUGAAAUUAAAAUUAUUUAUAAAAUAUAUCAAAUUAAAUAUCAUGAUAAGAGCAUUAAUUUGAUAUAUUUUAUGUAAAUAUUUGAUUUAUGGAUUGUCAGCUCUGGCUACCUUGGUCAGCUUUGGCGAUAUUGAGCUCUGACUCUAAAAAUCUACUCUGCUAUGGAUUUCAGCUCUGACUAUGGAACGACAGCGCAGACGGUUUUGUCAGCGCUGGCAAGGCAGCAGAGUAUGGCACCACUUUGAGCCCAAAUACGCACUUUCUGAACAAAAUCUCCAAAAUAUCAUUCUUUCUCCUAUUGUAUCAAAAUCUCCUGUAACACAUCAAACAGACUCAUAAACGCACCAACUUCCAUAAUAUUUAACUCAAAUAUAGCACAAUCAAACCCUCAAAUUAAGAACAAUUAGGCAUAAAUCAAAAGCUAUUUUUCUAUGAAUCCACAUACAGCUCCCGACUAGGAUGAAUUUCCACCUUUAUUCUUUCAAAAGUAUUGGGAUGAAAUUCGUGAGGCCAUUACUCGAGAUGUGCUGGAAAUUUUGAAUGGAGGCUCUAGUAUUAGUGAGUGGAAUAAGACCCUAGUUGUUCUCUUUCCAAAAAUAAAUAAACCCCAAUAAAGUGAGUGAUUUCCGCACCAUGAGCCAUUGUAACACCAUUUGCAAAAUUGUGACUAAGGCCUUGGCUAAUAGGUUUAGACGUGUUCUUAGAGAUGUGAUUGAUGACUCUCAGAGCGCAUUUGUUUCUGAUCGUAUGAUUUCAGACAAUAUUUUGGUUGGAUACGAAUGUAUGCACUGGUUGAGAAAUCAAAAUAAGGGAAGACAUGGCUUUGCUGCGCCAAACUUGAUAUGCGUAAGGCAUAUGAUCAGGUGGAGUGAGAAAUUUUGAAGGUCAUGAUGGGUGCUAUGGGUUUUCCUAGUAACAUGGUGGAGUACAUAGCUUUCGUGAUCAAUAGUAAAGUUUUUGGAUCUGUUUUGCCGUCUAAAGGGCUACGCCAAGGCUGCCCACUUUCGUCUUUUUGUUUGUGCCAUGUGCUCAGGGGCUUUCCGCUAUGCUCCACUAUUAUGAAGGACAUGAGUGGUUUGAAGGUGUUAAAGUGGCUAGAUCAAGCCCGACGAUCUCUCACAUUUUUCUCGCUUCAAGGCCAAUGCAGGAGGGGUGUUAGCCAUUCGAGAAGCGCUUGAGAUAUAUUCAGUGGCAUCAGGACAGGUGGUCAAUAUGAGGGUGAACUCCAUGCUAUGCUUCUAGGAGAUAAGUUAUCAGAUUGGAUGUGGAUGUUUCGAUACAUGAGGUUGGCAACAUUACUAGCGUCGGAUUCAUCCUCAGAGAUCACAAGGGUUGCUUGAUUGCAACUGUGGCUUAAAGAAUCGGGCGCACUAUGAUGACAUAAAUGAGUGAACUAUCCAUGCUAUGCUCCUAGGAAUCGACUUCUUCAACUCCCUCUUAUUGUUUAUUCAGACUCUAUUAUUGUUGUGCAUGUGGUGCAUGAUGAGAAGAAAAACUUGGACUCUCUUUGCGAUGAUCUUUACUCGACUUUUUCUCACGCAAAGGGGUAUUGUGUUCUUAUUUUCGGCAUGUUUGUAGGGAGGCCAAUGGCACUGCUCAUAAUUUAGCAAAUUUCGCUAUUUCUGCUAAUGAUGUAACGGUUUGGAAGUCAGAUUUCUGAGUUGGCUUUCAGAUAUUCUUCAUCGGGACUUAAUAUAGUUGUUCCUCUUGCCAAAAAAAAAAGUGAUAUUUGAAAAUCUUUAUACUUAUUAAUAAAAUAUUGAGUUUUCUACAUAUAGGCGUACUAGUAGACAUAAAAAAAGAUAGACAGAAAUUUGCCAGAGAAAAGCUAUGGGACAAAAAAUGUGUCGGGAAAAUAUAGUUGUUGCAACUUUGCUUUUAUAUAUUUUUUAUUAAUAAAAAAAUAUUCAAUAUACAUCUCAAAUUAUAAAAUCAUGAUAAAAUCGUUAAUUUUUUUUAUAUAAAAAUUUUCACAAAUAAUUUAAAAAUAAAUAAGAUUUAAAGUCUAAAAAAAUCUCUUCAUUUUUCCUAAAUCCUACCUCAUUUCUCUCUCAUUUUCGCCUCCUCUCUCAUAUUUUUUCUCUUUCAUAUUUCUUCUCUCCUAUAUUUAUUCUUUUAUUUAUUUUAUGUAACUUCUCAUUCUUCUUCUUCUUCUUUCUUUUUUUUUUUUGAGAAGAGCUUCUCAUUCUAUUAUCUCUCACCCUCCUUGUUUUUCUCUCAUAUUCAUUCUCUCUUUAUUUUUAAAACAUUAUUAUUAAUUAAUGUAAUAAUUGCAAGAAUACCACUAAAUUGACAUGCUUGUAGUUAUUUUUUCACCUUUAUUAUGUGAAUGUCUUAUUUAAUUAUAUUGAUACUUUUGUAAUUCUAAAAAAAACAAUUGUGUUUUUAUAUAUUUAUAUAGAUAGAUAUUGAUACUAAAACAUCGAACCAGCUUAGCCGGAUCGGCCCAAUUGACCCGCCCAUUUGUUACCAUGUAUACAAACAGUUUCUUAAUAAAAGGGAUAUAAUCAAGACGUCUCUGCAUUGAAAACUUCACUAUUAGAAGUAGUUGAAAAGUAUGGCCAAUCUUCAUGCUAAACAAUACUUCCAUACUUGAUAAAAAUUUAGUUAAUUAUCAUGUUACAGCAAACAAGCUCUUCGUAGAAACAACAUAGCAAUGUUUAAUCCUAAAUUACUUGCACAAACGACAUGAACGUUGAAGGUAAAUGCCCAAACAGAGAAUAUGGCAAUACGUCAACAUGCAUCCUUACAACUAAUCGCUAUUGGUGAGUCAAUCUGAGUCGUAUCUUUUCUUAUCUUUGUGCUUCCUGUGCUUCCUCUUGUCAUCCGAAUCACGUGAAUGUCUCUUCUCCCGCCUUUCGUGUUUAUCACGUCUCUUAUCCUCAUGCUUCCUUUUCUUUCUGCUGGAUUCGUCUUCUAACUCCUUCUCAUCGUUCCUUGCAGAUGUGGUUGGAACAGAGACGUUCGUCUUUCCAACUGGUUCGGACUUCUUUUCAAUUGGUUCAGACUUCAAACUGGACGGCAAGAUUGAUUCUUCAGAAGGACCUGACGCCCCCCUGCAGAUGUUCAAAAUUUGCACUUAACAAUCCUAUUUUAUUAGGGAUGAGUUCCAUUAAAAGAUCAGUUAUGAAUUAUGGCCUCCAAAUUUUUAUCCAGCAAAUACAGAUCACAUUUCAUUAUCUGUUUAUUCCAUAAGUUUGUACCAUGUUUAGUUUUACGAUAUCAUACACAUUGGGCAUAGUUAAGAAGCAAAAUCAGACAUACAGUGUUGCAAAAUACAAGUUUAAGUUUGAUAAAAUUGAUAAGUAACCUUAAUGGAAAUUUAAUAUCAAGUUUCCAGUUCAUACCUUGCAAAACCAAUACCUUGAACUUGAGCUGCUUCAGCAUGUCCAGCACCCAAGUCUUCUGNAAAUAGUUAAUUACAAAAAAAUGACACAGAUAGUUUCUCAAAUGAUACUAAAGUGCUGUGUAGUGUGUACAGCAUUUGUCAUAAUAAGGAGGAUUCAAUCGAUACGAUCACCUACAAGUUCCAUAUUGAUUAAAACCUCAAUUGACAGCUUCGUAGCCCCACAAGUCAGCAAUAUUAACAAUUGACUAUAAUACAAUUUUCGGGGGAGGCUAUAAUGCUAUUAUUAGCAUGCAAACUCGACAAAUGAGGUUAUUAAUGCUACUGGCUUUUCUUGCGAAUAAAUGCACCAUAUUUCCAGGGUCAUUCAUUCAAUUUAAUAAUAGAGGCUCCACUAGACGAGCCAAGCAUAAAACAAAGAAGUACAUGUGAAUCAACUAGUUGCUUUUGGAUGAAGCGAACAGGGAAAGGGGAAAAACUUUUACCUUUCUGCCAUCUUCCAACAGGAGCCUUGAGACUGUGACCGAUAUAAUUUUCUCGAUGUUUAUCAACUUUCACCUCAUCCCAAGUAAAUUCUGCAUGUGUUUCAUAGAAGAACAAUGUUAUCAACGAAUAAUGACUACUACAAGACAUGCCAGAAACAGAAAGCAUGUGGAACAAGGUCAGAGUAACAUCAGUAACAAACUCUUCACCCACAACAUUAAAUCAGACUUAUAAUUAACUUAGCAACUCUGCAAUGCAUUUCUAUCUGAUAUGAUGAUGCAUAGGAAUUAGUAAGUAAAAUCAUAUUGCAAACAUUGUUGAUCCCAAAAUCAUUUCAAAAUUGCAUCCUAUCGAUGGAUCCUACGGACGACAUCCACCUGCUCAGGAGUCUAUUACUACUGUAAGCAAAACAAUCUAGAUCUCUCAUCUCCCCUAACUAAUAUUAAAGUUACAAAUACAUAAAACAACCUAGAUAAUGUGCAGUUGCUAAAUAGGAAAAGCUAUGAUCAUAACAAAACAUACUAUUUCGAAGCAAGUAACGAAACCCAUAAAUUCAAACAAUACCGUAGAAGUAUUAUUACAAUCAACCCAGUUCAAUCAGCCCUAAAUUAAACAAAUCAUAUCCCUAAAUCCCCCGAAAAAUCGGUGAUACAAGUUGACAAUAUACAACAAAUUCCAGUUUCUUUAUACAAAAAGAUGCUGCCGAUGUACAUAAUUAUGUCGACGACUAUAAGACAAUCAUAGGGUAUUCGAAUUAUAAUGCAAAAUUCACAGAAGAAAAGAGGAAUCUCCAUAAAUUUCUCCGGAAAUUACAUAGCUCACUAACUAAAAACAUGGACAGCCAAUUCUGAAGGUUUAAUCGAAAGUCACCCGUAACUGUUCGAAAACCUAGAAUUUGAGGGUGGAAGAAGGAAGAGAGAGCUUACGAUCACGACCGCCGCGAACUCCGCCUCUUGUUGGAUGGUACAUAAUUCUUCACUAAAACCAGAUUUGAUUGUUAAUUGCGGCAAAUCUCGAUGCGCAGAUGAUGAUGGUGAGAGUCGAAAGAAGGGGGUAGGGCUGAUAUUCUUUUUUUUUUUUUCCUUCUGGUUUAGGGGGUAGUGCUGAUAAUUCUGGUUUAGGAAGUAUGAAUGACAAUUAUGCCGAAUUGUAGAUUAGUCCCGGACUUUAUAUGGAGUAUUACAAAUUACAAAUGCUGUGUACACAGCAAAUAUCCCACAUCGUGGAAUGAGCAAACAAAGGCUACGUAAGUGCCUAUAAAUACGAGGUUUUUCGACCUGGUUAAAUCACGCAGCUGCGCGUUGAGCACAUAGCGAACUAUUCUUUCGCCUUUUACUAAAGAAUACCGUGUGCUCGUCGCAAUUCAAGCAGCAUACGCCAUUUUUUGGAGGGUGUUUUCCUUGUUGGAAAACCCCGAAAAAUCAUAAGUUAAAUUUUACAAUAUUUGUCUAAAUAAAAAUAUACAUAUCGAAAUGUUGAUAUAUAGUGUAAUUUUAUAAUAUUUGUCCAUAUAAAUAAAUAUAUAUCCUUGAGGUAUAAAAUGCUGAUAUAUAUAUUUUUUAUAUUUAAUAUUUUUGUCCAAAUAAAUACUCCGUUCCUAAAAUAACUUCUUUUUUUCCCAUUUUGGGACGUCUCCAAAUAACUUCCUCUUUUUUUCUUUCCAUUUUUGGAAACCUACCCCACCACUAAUAAUAUUUUAUUUAUUCUUACUUUUCACCACUCCAAUAUUAAUUAUAACACUUUUCACAACUUCCAAUAAUAGUAUAUCAUUUUUUCUCCACUAUCAAUACACUUUACAACUUUUUAUUAAAACUCGUGCCGUCCCCAAAGAGGAAGCCAUUUCAGGGACGGAGGGAGUAUGUAUAUAUUGGUUUGGGAUAGAAAUGGUGAUAUAUAAUCUGCUCAAAAAAUAGAAAAGAAAUAUUGAUAUAUAAAUUACUUUUUAUUUUUACUAGUUAAAAUUGAUAUUUUUAUGGUUUUUCAAAUGCUAAAAUUGUUAAAUAUUGGCUGUUUAUUUCAAUGGAUAAAACUUGUUGUCAUACGAUUAUUUUCUUCCCAAUUUGCCAAGUAUUUGAGAAAAAGUAGCCUCCAACAAUUUAAUUUAUAGAGCUAUUUUCUCUAAAAAAAGAUAAAAUUAUUGGCUAAAAAUUAGUCUCUUUAUUUCCUCUCCUACAAUUCAAUUCAGUUCAUACCUUAGAUUAACUUGAAGAAAUACAUCAAUAAUCAAAUUUGAUGGAAACACAGUUCUGUUUUCGUGAACAAAAAUAAUAGCAACAACGCAAAAAGAAUAACAUCACUUCAAACACUUUUGAACCAAACAAUAAUGAUAAAUGAAAAAUAUUUUCUGAAGUAAAGUUCAAUAAUUUUUGAAUUAAUCACUCCACAUCUUGUCAUAAAAUCUAAUAAACUUGUGUUGUACGGAAAAGCAUAACGAUUCAUCAAUCAUCUUCGUAAAAUGACACAUCUUUUAGACCAUGUAGAUAAUCAUAGGUCCAAACCAUAUUAGAAAAUGUACUAAAUUAUUUACAUAUGUUUAAUCCGGAAUUCGAAACCAUCAACAACAAAAUGAUUUUCUUGAGAUUAUGUUCAUAAUAUCCACUGAAGUAAAUAUAUUGACAUGUAGCGCAAGGGAAAAAGUGAAGGAGAAAACAACAGUUAUCCCACAUCUGAAAGUUAGUACAUGGAGCAGGGGAAUAGCACAAACAUAAAGGGAAGAAAAAGAUAGAAGUUCCAUACUUACCUGGACGGGUCAAUGGGCGAUCCAUAAGGCUCAUGGCCUAGGUUGGCGAUCUCCAUUGCACACAGGAGGGGCGCCCGCCUAAGGUCGGCCCAAGUGGUCGAGCCUACGUCAUAAUUUGUGUUAGAGGGGGCCUGCGUUCGCGCAGCCCCUACCCAAUUCAAGUACAAUUUUGCCUAAGCUCACUUAGAAAGGCUUUCUAAUUCAGGUAGGGUCAUUGCUAACAUUGGACUAUUGGUCAAUUUGGGUUUGUGUAAUUCUAUUCAUAGCUUUUGAGUCUGCAUAAUUCUCAUGUUUGCUCAAUUUAAGUUUGGGUGAUUUUGCCUUAAUUUUAUUUUAUUUAUUACUAGUGCGCUCUCCUGGUGCGGAUCAUCGCAUGAACUAUGAUAUAACUUUAUCAAAAAUAUUAUUAUUAUGAGUUAAAUUAAUUGAUAGCAAAAAUACAAUUUAUGUUAAUUUAAUUGUUCAAUAGAAUAGAAACUAAAUUAAAAACCACAAAAAAUUAAUAUAAAUUCAAAAAAAUUAUUGAUUUUGAGAUGCUUCAUUUUGUAUAAUAUUCAUAUCCGUAUUACAAAAUUAUAGAAAAUGACUCAUCAAUUUUUCCAUUUUUCAUUAGUCGAAAAGGGAAAAUGCUUGUCAUAUUUUGAAAAUUCAUUUCCAAAAUUAUUAUUAUUCCAUACAUUUCCAUGCACCUACUCUUUCUUAAGUUGAUUCCACAGCAAGUAUUUUUAUGUAAAAUAUUAACAAAGUAUGAAAACAUUCAUUUCUCAAUCUACAUGAGAAUGUAAAAAUCCUUACUUCUAUUUAUUCUUAUAAAAGUGAAGAUUAUUUCAAGAUAUAAAUAUGAAUAUGAAGAUAAAAUCACCCAAUCUGGAUAUAUUUCUCCACUGUAAGAGAUAUUUUCAAUGAUAAUUGCUUUUUGGCAACAUCAUCGUACGCUACCACUGCUAUCAGAGGAUCUCCAAUUAGCUUGGAAUAAAACCUUUAUUCCAUAUUUUAGUCUCUCUUGUCCAAUAUAAGACUUAUAAAUCUCUAUUUUCCUGUAAUAUCCUAACUGAUCAUAUAUGAUAAUUUAGAUUUUAGUAAAAAUAGUUCAAUAAAUCACAUAUUUAUGUUGUAGAUUAUAGAAUUUAAAACUAUAUCAUAACGUGACUUACAAUGAAUACACUGACUAAUGCCUAUCAUUUUUACUGACACAUAUAUACACGCCUAUAUAUAUAUAGUUGUUUAUAUAAAUAAUAAUACAAUAGGAUGGAAUCCUCAGAGUAUAACUACACCUCAAUAUCAUUAACACAAAAGGUCAAAAAGAAAGAAUGAAAAUAGCGAUAUCUUAGUCUUUCUACCAAAAUUGUAAACAAAUUAUUUCAUCUUCAAGAUACAUUAUGCAUCAUGUCACUGAUCAAUCUAAAAUAGAUAACAUAAUAAUAAUCUAUAACAAAUAAGUUGAAAUAAAAUUAUUCAAAAACUCGCUAAGACACUGAGCUAGCUCUUAUAAUUGCAACAAACAAAUUCACCACCAAAUAUCAUUUUAAUUACAAUGUUAUGUUGUUUAACUUCUGCAUCAUUAAAAGUAAGUGCCCGUUACAAUGUCAUAGUUCAUCUAUAUAUGGCGCAACGACGACAACCUGAUAUGAUAAUAUUGUUAAGGCUACAUGAGACCAUAAUAUAUUUUUUAAGUGUUUUUCAUUUAGAUUUAGACAUACAUCGUUCCGUUUAUUCGUUUAUGAGGUGAUGAGUUCAGAAAUAAUUCUAUGAAAACAUAAUUAGGAAAAUAAAUUCUCUAACAUCUACGGCUUAUUGGAAGAAAAUAUCAAAUUAACAAUAUAAUAACAAUUAACAUAGUACAUCAGUAAAGAUUUUGCUUGCAAGAUUGCAGCAGAGACUUACACUAUUUUCCACCCAUUUCCUUCUUCUCAUUCAUUUAUAUAUGUUGAUUAAAUAUUCAAGAAAGAAUAAAUAAAUAAAUAUCUUAAAGUCUAUUUUAAUCAUAGAUUUUUUUUUUAAUUGACGAUUUUAUAUAUAAAAAAAGAAAAGAAAAAACCAAAAAAACCCUUGAAAGCACAGAAGGAGCAGACUAAGGGCCGAUCCUCAUUAAAACCUUUUCACGGAAAGGCCAGUGGGAAAAACCGUGAAAAGGAAAAAGAGUACUCGUCUAAACACAGAACGAAAGUAGGGAAGAGCGGAAGGGAAAGUUUCCGGAACUCCGGCCUAACCAUCGUCCCUAAACUAUCCCGGCUCUCACCCCACGAAAAAAUACUAAACGGCCGAUAAGACGCCGUCGCCGUAAGAAGAACAAACCCAAACAAAGAAAAACGAGAGCAAGACAUCCGGGUAAAUGCCAUCUCCUUGAGCAUUCCACAACAUCCAUCCCUAAAACCCACUCAUGAACCAACCAUCAGCCCCAACUACCGUUUCUGACGCAGAUGGCUAUGCGACGCCAUGUCAAGGCGAACCGCAGCCCUAAUCUCCUCAAUCUCGUACGGCCACNUAAAGAAUAGAGUAUAUGAAACUUAUUUUAUAAAAAAACAUACAUUACUAUCUAUCUAUACAUAUAUAAAGCUGGUCCAUCUAGCCAAAAAAUUCCCGCCCUUUUACUCAAUUUAUUUUUGGAAAGUUGAUCUAUAUUUGGAAAGUUAACAUAUAUAUAUAUAUAUAUAUAUAUAUAUAUAUAUAUAUAUAUUUAUAUUCUUAAUUAAAUGUAAUUAAAUCUACAUUUAAUUGAACGACAUUUAUUCUCAUCAUCUAUAUAUGAAAUUUAUAUGUAAAAAUUUGUAGAUCACUAAUUUCAAUCAAGUCUUUUGUGAGAAAUAUUCAUCCAAUAAAUAAAAUUCAAAAUAUAAAUACAUAUAAAUUGCAUGGGAUCUUGUAGUCAUUUGCAAAAGUGAAUAUUCUUUUUGAUUUACACGCAAUUUUAGACUAUAGAUUGUUUUUGAAUUCAAGAGAAUAAAAAAUUAUUUACGAACUCGUAGCAAUAUCUCAUAUAAAUUAUUUUUGAUUUACACGCUAUCUCAUAAAUUGAUUUCUAAUUAUUUUCAAUUAUAUCUUUUGGAGAUAAACAAAAGAAGGGCUAUAUAAGGCUGUUGUUAAUUUUUUGUUGUGAUUUUUGCAAAGUAUGACAAAAAUAACAACAACAAUAAUAAUAAUAAAAUAAUAAUAAUAAUAAUAAUAAUAAUAAUAAUAUUACUAAUGCUAAACACGACACAAUAUAUCAUCCAAUCAUAUCUCCAUAAAUCAUGACCCACAUUGAUUAUGUUUCUAUGUUUUGUCUAACAAAUCAAAAUACCAAUAUACCAAUCAACUAUCAACGAAAUUAUGAAAUACAUAUUAAGUAGAGUAAGGUAUUGAUUGGUAUGCAUGAUUAAUGGGAUUUUUGUAUCAUCUUUACAGCUAAACAAAGGAGACGAAGAAGAAGCCCUAUCUCAGGCAUGCAUGACGUCAGAUCUAAGAGAGAGAGGUGAUAGUGUGAAAUAUGUAAUUUGGCAACAUUUCAUAUAUAUCUCCAAAAAAUGUAGCAACUUUUUAUUAUCGUCAAACCAAAAUCAACUCCAUUAUCAAAGCAUCUCAUUCAAUAUAAUAUAUUAAAUAUAUAAGUUUCAUAUAUAUCUCCCAUCAAAUGUGUAUCCCCGUGGCCUAUAUAAACUAACUUUUGGUGUGAAAUUUUUACUUAUACUCACUUCUUCUUUUGAUAUUCAUCAUUUCUCUAAUCUCAAACAUGCCGACCAUGUGGUCUUUAGUAAAAAAAUUACAACCAAAUAAUGCCAGAUCUGCAAUGAAUUAAUAUGAGGCUAUUUUAUUUUGGAAGGGAAAGUUCUCACAGACCAUAAUGCAGGACAUCAAGUAUUGAUACCAAGAUGACACUGAUACCAGUUGAUCCAAGACUACCGCUCAAGUUUCAACGGCAGCAGUUCCCUAUUAUUGUUUCUUAUGCAAUGACUAUAAACAAAAGUCAAGGUCAAUCACUCUCUCAUGUGGGUUUAUUUUUGAAUAGGCCUGUUUUUAGUCACAGUCAGUUUUAUGUAGCUAUUUCUAGAGUUACAAGUCGAAGGAGUCUGAAAAUCUUGAUAUGUAAUGAAGACAAAGUAGAUUAUUAAUUCUACAAAUGUUGUAUAUAAAGAAGUGUUCCAAAAUUUAUAAUAAUAAGAUGACAAGUUUGCAAUUGUCUUUUCAUGUAUUAUUAUUUUCACCUUUAUUUUUAAGUAAUUUUAAAAAUGUUAGUCUUAAAUAUAUUUUAGCAGUAACAUAAUUGGUAUAACAAUUGUAUAAUAAAAUAUUUUUAAAAUCAUUUAUUUUAGAGAUUAUACAAAAGUGUCUUUCAGAAUGUUACAAUAAAAUGCUUAUAUUGUUCGAUGUCUUACUUAAUCAGGUAUAGACAUCCUAUGAACUUUUACGUAAAUGGAUGAAUUUUAAAAUAAGUUAUGAUAUUUUUUAUUAUUUUAUAUCUUUAUUUUAAUAACCAAAUUUUAACAACAUAUAUAAUCCCGUGCAUCGCACGGGUAAAACACUAGUAUUUUGUGUAGGUGGUGGCAUUGGUUGUUUUGAGUGUUGCAUCAAUGCUACAUCAAUAAUUUGAAUUUAUUAAUUUUUGUAAACCUAUCUAUGCAUUAAUAAACUUACAAAAAUAAAUACUAGCAUGUGCACAUCGUGCAAUACAUAAAAAAUAUUUUUAUAUUUCUAUAUUUAUAUAUAAUUGAUACCAAUUCAAUUAUUAUAUAUAUAAAUAUAAUAAAAAAAAGAGUAACAACGUUAAAAUACAUGAAUUUUCAUACACAUUGACAUUUCUAGUUUUGAACACGAACUUAAAAUUCUACUUUUAAAUACAUGAACUUUCAUUUCUUUCUAAUUUUGCACAUAACGAGUAUUUUUAACAACUGAAAGUUGAGGUAGAAGUCAGAAUUGACUAAUUUUCAUUUGUUAUUAAGUGAAGUAUCAAUUAUAAUGUGUGACAUAUAUAAAUGAAAAUACUAAAAUUUAGCCAUUAUUUUUCAAUUGUUGGCCACCAUUUUCUCUUUUCCUGCGCAUGAAGUUGGGUUCUAUCUUUAGCAUCCAAGGUCAAGGUGCCAACAUGACAAUUUGCAACAAUAGCUUCCAGCUCUAUUAAAUGACAAUUUUAUAUAAAAAAGAAAAGAAAAAACCUAAAAAAAACCCUUGAAAGCACAGAAAGAGCAGACUAAGGGCCGAGUCUCAUUAAAACCUUUUCACGGAAAACCCAGUGGUAAAAACCGUGAAUAGGAAAAAGAGUACUCGUCUAGACACAAGACGAAAGUAGGGAAUAGCUAAAGGAGAUACAACUCCGAGAUUCAGAAUAACAACGAAAAAACAACCACCCAUCAGUCCCAACUACCGUUUCUUACGCAGAUGGCUAUGCGAAGCCAUGUCAAGGCGAACCGCAGCCCUAAUCUCCUCAAUCUCGUGCGGCCACCACCCUUCUGAACGUUGUUGGUUAACCAUAAUAUCUGCCGCCUUGUUUCCUUCUCUAAAGAUGUGAGAAACCUGUAGCGAGAAAGCAUCUAACAUCUUUAAAAUCCUAUUCCACGCCGCCUUAAAACGCCAAGGCACAUUUCAAAGAACGAGUAUUAAGAAUUGAUAUCACGUAGGUGGAAUCGGCUUCAAUCCAAAGCUUGUGCCAACCACGAUUGUGAGCAAUUUGAAUCGCCGAGAUAACAGCCAGGAGUUCCGCUUCAAAGGCAAAACCCGAGCCACCUUUGAAGUGAAAACAACCACGCACUACAUUCCAGUUAUCUCUAAACACCCCACCUGCAGCAAUAGUUCCCGGAGCUCCCGUCGCUGAGCCAUCAGUAUUUACUUUGAUCCACGGCGCCACCGGUGGCCACCAAUGCACCUCAACAAACUCCGGAGGAGGAGCACUCCUGGUAGUAACACCCACUGCCCGGAGAAUCAGAUAAUCUGACCUAAGAAUUCGACAUGUAACCUAAUUUAGGAAAGUUAUCAUCAAUCUCUUUUGAAAGUCAACUUUCACAGUGUGGAUGACACGACUUGCUUCGAACUUUUGAUUAUCAAAGAUACAAUUGUUCUCUGCAUCCAGAUGGCCCAGAUGACCGUGAUGAUACCAGCUUUCCAGAAAUUACCGGUGAGGGGACUAAGUUAUACUGCCAAGCUGCCACCAAAAACUAUGAAUAUCAUUCUCUUGCAACCCUUGCGUAGAAAUUAAACCACCCCAAGAAACGUAGUCCAAAUAUUCUUCACACGCUCACAAUUCCAGAAAAGGUGAUCCUGAGACUCACUUCCUUUUAAGCAGAGCAAACAGACGUUAGGCGUGAUCAUACCGUAGCGGAUAAGGCGAUCAUAAGUUGGCACUCUAUUAUGAAGAAGACGCCAACAGAUCAAAGAACGUCGAAUCGGAAUAAAAGAUUCCCAAAGCCAAGAACCCUAAGACACCUUCGGAAAAUGAUGACAAUGCUUGUUGAAAGUCAGCGCAGUAGUGACAUUCCCGUGCAACGAGGGUUUCCAGAAACGCACAUCUCCCUCAGAACCAAGAGGAGUGAGUGAAAUAUCACACACUAUCUCAGGAAAAGCAUUAACAAAGGCUUGCGUGAAAUGCCAGACCCCAUCGUAGAAAUAAUCAGCCACCGAUUGAGUAAGAAACGGAAGCAUGAAAAGCGGAAUACCGCAUUUAUUCAUCAGAUUAUACCCAAGCCAGUCGUCAUACCAGAACGAAGUAGAAGCGCCGUCACCAAUAUACGAGUACGAAUCUGCCACCAAACCAUCAAUUUCCUCACGUAAGCUCAUCCAGAUAGUAGAAGCAGCCACCAGAGAUUUACUACGCCCAAAGCGAUCGAGAUAUCUAUCUCUAAUCAAAUCAUAUCCGAACUCACACCCACCAACCACCUUCCACGCCAUUUUCAUGAGAUAGCUCUUAUUCAUUAAUUCGAAUGACCUUACCCCGAGACCGCCCUCCUCCUUAAGCGAGCAGACCCUCUUCCAACUCACAGAGCAAGACGGCGUCUGCUUGAUGUUGCCAGUCCAAAGGAAAUUACGGCAGCACGCAUCGAGCUCCUUAAUAAGAGCAGUCGGCCAUCUAUAAACCAUCAUGGAGUGCGUCAGGGAGCUUUGGAUAACCGACCUGAUCAGGCAAAUCCUCCCAGCCAUUGACAAAUGUAAUCCCUUCCAUCUCGCGAACUUGUUUAUAACACGAUCAUGUAUCGGUCGAAGAUAGGAGGCACGCACACGGCCCUUAAAGAUAGGAACCCCAAGGUAAGUAAUUGGAAAGUUGCCCUGAGAAAAUCUCAAAAUGCUCCUAAUAGCCCUGCAGGUUUGAGAAGGAACNNNNNNNNNNNNNNNNNNNNNNNNNNNNNNNNNNNNNNNNNNNNNNNNNNNNNNNNNNNNNNNNNNNNNNNNNNNNNNNNNNNNNNNNNNNNNNNNNNNNNNNNNNNNNNNNNNNNNNNNNNNNNNNNNNNNNNNNNNNNNNNNNNNNNNNNNNNNNNNNNNNNNNNNNNNNNNNNNNNNNNNNNNNNNNNNNNNNNNNNNNNNNNNNNNNNNNNNNNNNNNNNNNNNNNNNNNNNNNNNNNNNNNNNNNNNNNNNNNNNNNNNNNNNNNNNNNNNNNNNNNNNNNNNNNNNNNNNNNNNNNNNNNNNNNNNNNNNNNNNNNNNNNNNNNNNNNNNNNNNNNNNNNNNNNNNNNNNNNNNNNNNNNNNNNNNNNNNNNNNNNNNNNNNNNNNNNNNNNNNNNNNNNNNNNNNNNNNNNNNNNNNNNNNNNNNNNNNNNNNNNNNNNNNNNNNNNNNNNNNNNNNNNNNNNNNNNNNNNNNNNNNNNNNNNNNNNNNNNNNNNNNNNNNNNNNNNNNNNNNNNNNNNNNNNNNNNNNNNNNNNNNNNNNNNNNNNNNNNNNNNNNNNNNNNNNNNNNNNNNNNNNNNNNNNNNCUAUCUCUAAUCAAAUCAUAUCCGAACUCACGCCCACCAAUCACCUUCCACGCCAUUUUCAUGAGAUAGCUCUUAUUCAUGAGCUCGAACGACCUUACCCCGAGACCGCCCUCCUCCUUAAUCGAGCAGACCCUCUUCCAACUCACAGAACAAGAUGGCGUCUGCUUGAUGUUGCCAGUCCAAGGAAAUACGGCAGCACGCAUCGAGCUCCUUAAUAAGAGCAGUCGGCCAUCUAUAAACCAUCAUGGAGUGCGUCAGGGAGCUUUGGAUAACCGACCUGAUCAGGCAAAUCCUCCCAGCCAUCGACAAGUGUAAUCCCUUCCAUCUCGCGAACUUGUUGAUCACACGAUCAUGUAUCGGUCGAAGAUAUGAGGCAUGCACACGACCCUUAAAGAUAGGAACCCCAAGGUAAGUAAUCGGAAAGUUGCCCUGAGAAAAUCUCAAUAUGCUCCGAAUAGCCCUGCAGGUUUGAGAAGGAACUUUGCUAGUAAAAAAAAUUUGCGACUUAUCCGGGCUCACAAUUUGAUCAGAAAUUUGACCAUAAUAUUCCAUAAUUUUCUGAAUGGUAUGAGCAUUCAUGACCGUGGCGUGACAGAAAACCAGAAUAUCAUCCGCAUAUAACAGAUGAGUGGGAAAAUUAAUUCCCUGUCUCAUUUGCAUCGGGGUAAGGGUGCCCGCGCUAACAGAAUUUGCAAAGAGCCUACCAAGAACAUCCUCGGCGAUUCCAAAAAGAAUCGGAGAAAGAGGAUCGCCCUGACGAACACCCCUUGAACACGCAAAAUAACCUUUAAGCUGACCAUUGUACAGAAUAGAAAUCCUAGCCGAAUGAAGCAGAAUCUCAAUCCAACUAAUGAACUUUGAAUCAUAGCCAGCAACACGAAGAACGUUAAGCAGGAAAUCCCAGCUAAGAGUAUCAAAAGCUUUUUUGAUGUCAAUCUUGCAAGCCAUGUUUUGACCACGGCUCGUACGAUGCAUACAGUUCACGCCUUCCGACCCAAUCAGAAUACAAUCGUGAAUGGAACGGCCGCUAAUAAAACCAAACUGAUGACGGGAGACAUAAAUAGCAGCAACCUGGCUCAGUCUAGACGCCAACACCUUAGUAAUAAUCUUGUAAAGAAAGUUGGACAAAACAAUCGGUCUCAGAUCCGAGACCGAAUUGACGACAUCUUUCUUAGGUAUCAACACCAAGGUAUUAGAAUUGCAGCCUUGAGGAAGAUAAGAAUUCCGGAAAAAUGCUUGAACAGCACACCAAAUAUCCACUUUAAUAAUCGACCAACAAUGCUGAAAGAACUUACCCGAGAAACCAUCUGGCCCAGGCGAGCUGUUCGGCUCCAUCUGAAAAACCGCAGCAGAAAUUUCCUCUUCAUCCGGCAAACGAAUGAGCAAAUUAUUAUAACGAUCUUCGACCAUCUCCUCAAUAACCGCCUCAACCGCCGUAAUAUCAGUAUUAGUAUGACUGCUAGUCGAAAACAAAGAAGAGAAGAAAUCCACAAUAUGAUCCCCAAUAACCUUUUGAUCGUAAUUCAUAUCUCCAUUGAUCUCCAUGUGAGAAACGAUGUGAGGUUUACGGCGAAACCUAAGCAUCGCAUGAAAGAACUUCGUGUUCCUGUCUCCAUCUUGAAGCCAAGACACCCGGCUUUUUUGCUGUAAAAGCGAACUCUGCCUGGAAAGCACAACGUUGAUCUUAGCUUGGGCUUCCACUUCUUUAUCAAAGAGAUCGUCCGUGUAACCAUCCCUGGCAAUCUGAUCUUGAAUCUCCAAAAGCUCUUGUUGAGUAUUCAUGAUACCAGAAUCAACAUUUCCAAAAACAUUCCGAUUCCACGCGCGAAGAACCUGCCGAAGACGCUUUAAUUUAUGCAUAACUUUAAAAAUCGGGCAGGCAAUCUCGGUAUCCAUCUGCCAGGACCGUUCCACCGUAUGGAGAAAAUCCGGAUGUAAGGUCCACAUGUUAAGGAACUUAAAGAAACGAUGGCGAGGAGGAGCAUCCACCAUGCAAUGAAGAACAAGCGGAGAAUGAUCCGAGGAAAUACGUGGAAGAGCUUGAACAAAAACCGAACUCCAGAGAUUUGCAAAAGAGUCAGAAUAAAUCGCUCUAUCCAGACGAGACUCCACGUGGGUAGGCAUAAAUCUACGACCAGACCACGUGUAAUGCAGACCAACCGUCGGCGCCUCAAUGAAACCGGUGGCUUCAAUGAAAUCACAGAACUCCGCACAAGCAGUAGAGUUAGGCAUACAGUCACUACUUCUUUCAUGAGCGCCUUUCACCGCAUUAAAAUCGCCAAUAAAGACAACAUUACCAUCAAUAUGAUCCAGAAGAUCCAACCACAAACGCCGUCUGCCAGCAUACGUGUUAACGCCAUGCACCACCGCGAUUUUAAAAUUCCACGUCGACCAUCUGCAGUUCAUGAUAACCACCUGCUCCGAGGAGAAAAUCACAUCAUGAGUAACAGAAGGAUGAGAAAAAACCCAAAUAUUCGAACUCAUGUUGUCUCUUGAAUUUUGAAAACAAGGAAUAAGAUUCAGAGAACGCCAGAAUCUAGAAUAAGUCUUCUUGAGGUUCGUCUUAGGCUCAAUAAUCCCAACAAUAACCGGGGAGAAGGAGUCGCAAUGCUCCUUUAAAACUCGUUUGGACUCGUCCGUAAGGCCCCGGACAUUCCAUACGAGGACAUUCAUCAUAAAGACUGAGAAUUCGUGUUCGGGUUUUCACCCGAUUCCACUUCAGCUGCCCAACUCUUGGCCGCCACAUUAUUCAGGGCUCUAUCAUUCUUCGAGCUUCCUGACGUAAUAAUGAAAUCUCGAGGUUUAUCUCCUGCUUCCCAAGCUUUGUAAAGUUUAUUUUUGAUGAAAUCUUCAGCCUGUUGGUUAGGUUGCUGAUUAGGUUGCUGCUCUACCGACUUCCGGAGACGACUCUUGAUACUCUCUUCCCCACGAAUCAUCGGUUUAAUUGCCGCCAAAUCUUUCGGCGGUCUCCCCCUUUUUUUCACCUGCGCUUCCGCCUCAAAAUUCCUGAAAGUUUCCACUAUCCGCUGAGCUUUGAUAGCGCUUUCCAUCAUCCUUUCCUGUUUCUCACAAUUUUUAUCCUGAUUGACCGAACUUUCAAAAAUGACGAUCUGUUGUGAAUCUGCUUCAGCCCGUGUAUUGCCACCAUCCGACUGCCCAUCAGACUCGUCUCCCGAAUCUAUCUCUUCCGUAACCGGCAUAGUGAUCGCCUGUAAGAUAUCCGGACCCGAUGUCAAUCUAUCUCCAUUGACAUCCUCAAAAUCAAUAUUCCUAUCAAUUAAAGCCAACGACUGAUUGUGGUUCUUUGUUCCCCGCGGUGUCUGAAUCUGCUCUUCUUCAACAGCAACCUGUUCCAAAACCCCCAACUGAUUUAUAAUCUGCUCUUCUUCGACAGCCACCUGUUCCAAAACCCCAAACUAAUUUUCAGUGAUAAUCUGCGGUCUGUGAGCUUGGGCAGUCCUAUUCUGGUCCCAAGAUUUAGGCUUCCAGUUAGGUGCCCUAACAUCCUUGGCAGCUCCCUUAUUAAUUAUUUCAUUGUCUUUACCCAGCGGCAUGUCUUUGGCCUUCCCAUUCCUGCUGUCCUCCUUGGAAUUGUUCUUCAUUCUAUUGCAGUUAUCAAUAGAAUGUCCAGUGAUCUUACACUUAGAGCAGAAGGCCGGGAGUUGUUCGAAUUCAAAUUCGACGUGAAAGGAACGUUCUUCCCCGUCAACCAGCAAAGCCUCCGGAAGAGGACGCGAGAGAUCAAUUUCCAACAAAAUUCUAGCAUAAUGUCCAGCAGCACCACGUGCAGAAGCCCCAUCAACUUUAAUGGGCGAUCCCAUCGCCCUUCCAAUACCCGUAAUGACAUCCAGAGUCCAAAAUUCUAAGGGCAAAUAAUAAAUGCGCAUCCAAACUUCACAAAGUGAGGAAAUUUCUUUAUAGGGAUCGAAGAAUCUUACCCAUUCGCGUAAUCGCAUGGUUCCGAAAGGUAACUCCCAAGAGGUGCUUUUCUGAACUAACGCCUUGUCUUCAGCGGUAUUAAAUUUAAUAGUGUAGAAGCUCUUUCCCAUGGGAUGAUUUGCCAAUCAUUGUCAAAAUUCCAAGCCACCUGAAGAUCACGUUUAAGAUCCGUGAGGAGACGCGGCUUCUCUCCUUUCCUAAGGAGAAGACGACCAAUUAAAGCAUGCUCAAAUUGAUUUAUCUUGGGCAGCAGAUGCUCUUUUGGCACCCUAAGCGUUGGUAUUUCACCAGAGAAAUCUGGUUGCAGCGAAGUGAAGCGAUGAACAAGCACAUCCGGCGUACGUUCAAUUUGUCGGGGUCUCCUCAGAAGCGAAGCAAAAGAAGUGGUGCUCGGCCGAUGAAGCUCCGUCGCCGAUGCAUUCUUAGUAUUGUUUUCAUUGAUCAAAUUCGGAACCCUAGUAUUCGAUGUCGUCGGCGUAGAUUCCUCAGCCACACCCUUAGUAGAUUCAGCAGCAAAUUUCUCUUUGUCGUGACAUUCUCCAUGGCUAUGACUAGAGAAAUUAUUGGAAACUUUCGGCAGAUUCAGCCCUGACUUAUCAACCAAUAUCGACAACUGUUGUUGGUUGAUUUGCAUGGUUGGCGUCGAUGACUUGCUCGUCGACGUUGGCGGCAUCGGUUGGUCGUUCGACGGCGUGCCGGCGAUCUCAGCAAAGAAAUCCAUUUUCCUGAAGGGAGCGGACCUUCACCAAUGGCUGCAGGGCGGAGGCGGAGGUGGCGAACGCCGGGUGGCGGAGCCACCAGAUCGGGCCACCUCGAAGAAGAGCCCUCGCGGUGGGGAGUCUGGAGAGGACUCCGAUCUGGUUCCAGUGCGUGGAUGGGCUCGGCGCGGCGGAGAGUGGCACGGCCCGGUGGACAGGGGCCUCAGGGAGGCGGAUCGUGGCGCAGAUCUUGCUGGGAAAUGACGAACCAGCAGCAGCAGCUCACGAUCCAGCAGCAGCUCCAGCAGCAGGCAGCGCGGCGACCGGUGCAGAUCCAGCAGCAGUAGCGCGGCGACCGGCGAUCUGGAACGGCCGGGCGUGGCUGGUCAGGCGUCGAUGAAGGUCAACGACCUGUGCAGAUUAAUCUGCUCUGCUGCAACGGGAGGAAGACGACGCCGACUGCUGUUGCUGCUUGCUGCAACGGAGGAGAUCUGCUCACGCCGGCUGCUGCAACUGCUCUGCUGGUCACGCCGCUGCUCACGGAGAAGGGACUGCGGACGCCGGAGCUCGGAAACGUAGGCGAGCAAAGGCAGGGGCUGCUCGGUGUCUGGGCCGCGACCGAGCGUCUCGCGUCUGCGUCUGGGUCUAGCUCGGCGGCACUCCGGUGGGAAGAGGCGGGUGGCGCUCAGGUGGGAAGUGGCGCGGUGGCCCGGCGGAAAAAAGUCUUCGCAGCUCCUAAUAUUAGGCUAUAUAAGCUCGAGCUAGUGUAGGUUUAACUACUAUCUUGCAUUCCAUGUACAUAAGGAAUAAUGUUACAUAAAUAUCUUAGUAUAAUUUGUUGUAACACAAAUGACGUUUUAUAAUUCAUUGACGAACAAUUGUAAUCAUUUAAUUUCCCGCAUACACACAAAUUACUAAAUUACAUUGUAAUUAGCAAAUUUUUCUAGUAAUGUUAAUAUAUGUUCUUUUUUUGCCCCAAAAAAAUUACACACUUUCAUAUGUUCUUCUAGACUUUAUAUUUUAUUUUUCAUUAUUCAAGCUUAAGCUAUGAGUUUCUAUUUGGCAUUUAAUUGGAUUGUUAUGAUUUAAUUCAUAAUCAUGAUAAUUUGACACCAAACUUUCAAACUAAGGAUCUAUCUGAUAUUAAAAUCUCUCGUGUCAAAAUUGUCAUGGCUCAAUCUAAUCUUAAUAUACAUAAAAUAAAAUAGUAACACUAUAACAACCGAUAGCUAGGGAGUGAAUUUAAGAUAUUAUCAGGGGCAUAAUAGGGAGUUCAUAUCUUAUUUAUAUAUUUACUUGUUUUUUUUUUGGGCUAUCAACAAUAAAUUCUUAGCGAGAAUAAUAUUAUUAGCCGAUUUAGAGGUUGGCUUUAAUGUGCUAUUGAUUUUGAAUAAAAUUAUGCAGUUCCCUCUGCUUUUAUUAAAUGUCAUGUUACACUUUGUAAUCAAAUGGGAUCAUUUGUUCCAAAAUAUAGUGUGUACCACGUGUACCAUUCUUCAUUUUUUUAUAUUUUUAAAUUAUUUUUUAUUCAAUUUUAAUUUAUUAUGCUUUUAUAUAAUAUAAAUAUAAUUAACAAGGGUGGGUUCACUCAUCCAUAUAGAGUUUAUAAUUAUUUUUUUAUAUUUAUUUGAAUUAAUAAUAGAUUAUUUGGCUUCAUUAAUUCAAAGUUAGGGUAUAUGAUUUUUUAAAUUUUAAUUUUUCAAUGAUAAUUAAUAUUAAUUAGAGUUUAUAAUAUAAUAAUAAUUUUUAUUUUUAUAAAAAAUAAUUUAUAAAACAAAGAAAUGAAGAAUGGUACACAUGGUACACACAAUAUUUUGGGAUAGAGGAUCCCAUCUGCUCUGCAAUGUGCUAUCGAUUUUAAAUAAAGUUAUGUAGUUCCCUCUGUUUCGCUCCUCUGAUAUGCAAACACCAUGCGGUGCAUUCACAAUAAAUUUUGAUGGUUGAAAAUUUCUAUCCUUCUUAUUUUAUUUAAUAACUAAGUCUUGUUUUAACAUUUUCAUAUAUAUAUGUGUGGGGAGAGCUAGAAUAAAAACACUCUUAAGUGUAUAAAAUAUAAAUGAUUUUCAGCCCUUAGAUCAUCAAGAUCUACGGUUGAUUCGUAACCCUGUUGGAUGAAUUCGUGGUCCUGAGUUCGAAUCCCAAAGAUAACAAAAAUUUAUUUUUCGCAAUUCGUAACUCUGUUAGAUAAAUUCAUACGUGUUCUACAUAAAAUUCGUACAUUAAGAAACAUUUAUAUUUUAUACACUUAAGAGUGUUUUUAUUCUAGCUCACCCCUAUAUAUAUAAAAUGAUCAUGUAGAUCCCCUUCUUAUUGUGAUACUUCUUCCGUCCCAACUAUAAUGAGACUCGUUUUUUGGACACGGGAAUUAAAAAAUGUGUUGUUUUGUGUGUAAGUAAAAAAGUGAAAAGAUGAUUAAAGAGUAGAACUUUUAUCCCCCCUCCCCCCCAAAAAAAGUCACAAGAUAGGUGGGACGCCUAACAAGGAAAGAAUCUCAAGAUAGGUGGGACAGAGAGAGUAUAUAAAUUCAAAUAUAUAACACAUAUUAUGUGUAUGUGGCGCAUUAAAAAUGUGACAGAGAUCUUCCAAGGCAUUUCAAGAAAAAAUAUACACUAAUGGGUAAAAUAGGAAAUAAUAAUAAUAAUAAUUUUUAUUUUUUUUUUCUCAUCGCUCGCGAAAAUAUGCAACAUAAAUAUGUAUAUAGUUUAAAUACAAAUAUGCAUGUUGUUACAUACAGAUAUGUAUAAUGUUGUCGCAUGAAUAAUUCUUAAUAUAUUUCCUGAAGGGUCGCCUAGUGGCUAGUGCAAUAGAUAUUUGUGUGCGAUGUUAUGUAUGUAUGUAUUUAAUAUAUAUAAAUAUAUAAGUUCAAUUAUAUGCACAAUUAAGGCGACGAGCGGUGAGCAGCAGGUAAGAGGCACUUGACGGGUCACCUAGUGCAAUGCAUAUAUGUAUUUAUGUAUAUGCAUAUUUGUCUUUAAUUAUAUGCAUAAUUAAGGCGGAGAGUAGCGACGAGAUGCACCUGACGGGUCAUUUAGUACUAUGCAUAUUUGUAUGUAACUAUAUAUAUAUAUAUAUAGGAAGAGGUUACUAAUAUAAAACCUCUGUUAAAUGAGAACUAGGAACCUAAUCUUGACCCUUUAAAUUUUAGAUCUAGUGGUUAGGAUUUAUUCACUUAAAAAACACGCCUAUUUUCUAGUGAUUAAGUUGAUAGUGUCGUCCUUUUCUUUUCAAUUAAUUAGGAGGUUAGUUAAGUCUUUUAUAAUAUUCUUAUUUAAUUAAAGAGCCAUUAAUAGUAGUGAAUUUUAUUUGUUCAUUGUUCCACGCCUAUUUCAACGCACCAAAUCAAUCUAUGCAUUUGUAAUUUCAGCUAUGCAACAUAAUAAAAUAACUAUGCAUUUACAAAUAUCUGGUGUGUACUAUUAACAUUAUCUAAUUAAACACGUCUAGUUGUUCCAUGCCUAUUUUAAUUGUGUUGCAUUCCAUUUUAUUUUGUUGCAUAAUUAAUUAUAUCAUUCAUUAUAAUUAUAUGUAGAUUUCAUGUGCACAGUAAAUUAAAAUCAUUGCACAUAUGUGUGAAUGCAUACAAUUGCAUAGUAAAUAUAUAGUUGCAUAACAUGUUAUUGUGUUGCAUAAUUAUUUUAUCACUGUUGCAUGAAUCAUUUUUGUGUUGCAUAAAACAUAGUUGGUAUCUGAAGCUGCAUAGUUGUUGUAGUGUACUAUGUUGCACAAAUGAAAAAUAUAAAUGCAUAAUGUGUUCAUUUUAAUUGCAUAUGCAUAGUUGGUAUUUGAAAUUGCAUAGUUGAUGUAGUGUCCAGUGUUGCACAAGUAAAAAAUUGAAAUNNNNNNNNNNNNNNNNNNNNNNNNNNNNNNNNNNNNNNNNNNNNNNNNNNNNNNNNNNNNNNNNNNNNNNNNNNNNNNNNNNNNNNNNNNNNNNNNNNNNNNNNNNNNNNNNNNNNNNNNNNNNNNNNNNNNNNNNNNNNNNNNNNNNNNNNNNNNNNNNNNNNNNNNNNNNNNNNNNNNNNNNNNNNNNNNNNNNNNNNNNNNNNNNNNNNNNNNNNNNNNNNNNNNNNNNNNNNNNNNNNNNNNNNNNNNNNNNNNNNNNNNNNNNNNNNNNNNNNNNNNNNNNNNNNNNNNNNNNNNNNNNNNNNNNNNNNNNNNNNNNNNNNNNNNNNNNNNNNNNNNNNNNNNNNNNNNNNNNNNNNNNNNNNNNNNNNNNNNNNNNNNNNNNNNNNNNNNNNNNNNNNNNNNNNNNNNNNNNNNNNNNNNNNNNNNNNNNNNNNNNNNNNNNNNNNNNNNNNNNNNNNNNNNNNNNNNNNNNNNNNNNNNNNNNNNNNNNNNNNNNNNNNNNNNNNNNNNNNNNNNNNNNNNNNNNNNNNNNNNNNNNNNNNNNNNNNNNNNNNNNNNNNNNNNNNNNNNNNNNNNNNNNNNNNNNNNNNNNNNNNNNNNNNNNNNNNNNNNNNNNNNNNNNNNNNNNNNNNNNNNNNNNNNNNNNNNNNNNNNNNNNNNNNNNNNNNNNNNNNNNNNNNNNNNNNNNNNNNNNNNNNNNNNNNNNNNNNNNNNNNNNNNNNNNNNNNNNNNNNNNNNNNNNNNNNNNNNNNNNNNNNNNNNNNNNNNNNNNNNNNNNNNNNNNNNNNNNNNNNNNNNNNNNNNNNNNNNNCGUGAGGCUGAUAUAUGGACCACGACCCAAUUCAGCCCAACUAGAUAUGGGCCUUAGAUUCAGCCCAACUAGCUGUGGGCCUUAGAUUCUCUCUCUUUUUUUUUUUUUUUUUUGAGAGGGCCUUAGAUUCUUAUGUAGUACUAAAACACUUUGCAGACACUCUGACCAAACGAUCUCACCUCACAUUACAUCUAGUAGCUGCUCGAUAUCUCCGAUAAGCGGCGGCGGUCGUGGUGGAGGGAAGAUGAAAAGGGAGAGAAGAGUCGUCGGAAGCGUUCGGGUUGGGAGUGAUGGGAAAGGCUUCCUUCUGCUACGGGAAAUUCCUUUCCUAUUCCUCCCAUACCGAAGGUUUCCGAUCUAUCCUCCCCUUUCCUUCCUACUUCUUCCUCUUCUUUCAAAUUGUAUCUAGUAUUAGAUCUGCUCUUGUUUCUCCAUUUCCCGUGCUACUUAGUUUUUUGGUAUGAAUUUUGCUGAUGGAUCAACUUGAUUGAAUUGUUUCUCCAUUUCCCGUGCUUCUUUGAAAUUGUAUCUAGAAAUUAUUGAUGUUGUCCUAAUUAUUAGGUUUAUCAGUAUUUACAACAAUGUUUGGUGCUUUUUGAUUGUUUGCUCGCUUUUGGAAUUAAUUGCUGGAUAUCUCAGUCGCUAUUAAUAGUUUGCUUAUUAAGUGUUGCUAUAAAUAAAUAGAUUCCAGUUUAAAACUUUUUUUUUUGAGAGAAGAUUCCACUUUAAAACUUAUUCCAAUAGCAACUCGUCAUCCUUUUUUAUGGAUCAAAUUCCGUCAAUCAAUGUUGUGCGUUUGGAUUACCAGAAAACAUUCAUGAGUAGCAGACUUUCUAUAAAAGAGAAAUCUUUUUCAAUUAUUUCCUCCGUCGAUUUAGGCUUUUGAUAAAGGGGGUGAAUGGAAUUUUCACAUAUUAUUGAGUAGGUAGUUGGUCAUAUCUGAAGCUAUUCACUUUAUUGUGGCUAAUCAUUCUGGUUGCAACAUUUCUUUGACUAACUUUUAAUUAGCUUUAUUUGUUUGAAUCCAAGUUAGCUGAUGAGAUAGAGCUUCUUUGUAACAUGCUCAAAUCUAGUGUUAUGUUCUCUUGGUUGAAUAGGUUCUUGGACUCAUAUGUUAAUACUGAAAAUAAUUAAUCUCCGAACAUCACGUGCUUGUAAAAACUUGUAAGAAAGAUUACAGUUUUCCUGUGUACAUGUUCAUCUCUGUCUCUGUUGCAUCAUAGACUUGAGAGUUGCUACCUUUGGAAGAAAAAACUCGGCUGGCCGGUCAUAUUGGAUUAUGAGACAUUUCUGUACCAUUAAAUCUUUGUAUGUUUGUGAAUGCACUAGGCGGAGCAUGUCUACGAGCAUGCCCUCUUAGCCCCUCAUCCCUAUUUAAACUUUAAAACUCUCCCAUGUCCAAUGCACAUCUAGGGUAUUUAUAGUGUGCCCCAGGAAGAUUUUAGAAGUCGGCCAAAUAUGUGCAGGAUGGACCGUUACUUCAAAAUCUAAAUCGUAGAAAAAGAAAAACCUUGCUUAUUUCAUAUGUGAAACUGAUGAUAGGAUUGUUCAUAUGAUUAUAUUUUAUGCAAGGAGUGGAUAUCCCCUCAUCUGAAGUUUUCAAUUGUGCUGUGCCUUUCAUGCUUUCUGGUUAGUAAAACCUAUGAAUUAGGGAAUGUGACAUAUAUUAUUGUAAAAAGUUCUGCUGCUUGGCUGAUUAUAUUUGAAAUAAUAAAGUGGAAUAGAUCCAACUAAUUCACCAUUAAAUGGCUGAGGUAUGAAACUAGUUUUUCUCUUUGCACUGUUGCACAUAGUACUCUUGUUUCCAUCAUGAUCAGAUGAUAAUGUGAUCUUAAUUUGAAUCUUCAAUUUUCCUUCUUUGCUGAUUUCAUGAUCCUUUGCUUGUGUUUCUUGCAUAGGAGAACAAGGGCUGGGCGAACACCAUUUGAUUAUGAAGAUCGCUUUCAUUUGGUGAAAGAUACAAAUUAUUCUAAAUAAUUUGCAUAUUCAACUUUGCCCUUUACUGUUGUCCUUAGUGAUGGAAGAAUAUACUAGUUUUUUUAUAUAUAUUUUUCAAAUGAAUCUUUUAAGGGGACUAUGUUUUUAGCUCGUUAUUUGAAGCAUGUUCUUUUCUUUUGUCUUUUAGGAAAAUCACCACCACUCAUAGACAUGAAAAUGGAUUGUAGCAAUGUGUCAUUAAACUGAAAAAAGUGCAUAGAUUUGAAAUUUUGGUAUUAGUGCUUAUCACUAAGUCGUUGUAGAUAUCGUUGGCUGGCGUUGCACUUGCAAAAUUAUCUUAGGGUUAAUUACAAUAAUAAUAGUGCUGGUCUAAUAAGAAAGUAAUCUUGGUUUAAAAUAAAUCGAUAAAAAAAAAUUAUAUGAGUAUUUGGCCAUUGAUUACAAUUCAUUAGUGACUCAAACACCGUAUCAAAGAUUAAAAAAGGGAUUAUGGUUUAAAACAUGUACAAUUUUUUUUAAAAAAAAAAUUGUAAUUUUCUCUUGAAUUUUCAAUUAAGCAAAAAAAAUAUAUGAAUUUAUAUUUUUAUUGCAAUUUUCACCCAAGUUUGACUUUCAAUGAAAUUAUAACUUAGUUGACAGUCGAAUUUAAGUCAAAUAUAUUAAAUUUUACCUUUUUAGACCUCCGAGCUUCUAAACACUCAUCAUCAUCAGAAGUUAGACAAACAUCAGGUAAUCUUUCGAUUGUCAACUAAGCUCUAAUUUUUGCCGAAAAUCAAAUUCAGGUAAAAAUUUCAACAAAAAUAUAAAUUUAUGUAUUUUUUUAUUUAAUUUAAAAUUCAUGUGAAAAUUAUAAUUUUUUCAGAGUUCAUGUAUUUUUUGUCUACAAAACCCAAAAAGAAUAAUUAACUUUUGGAUUGAUAUAUAGUUUUAAUGAUUCGUACAUAAUCCCCUUUAAAAAAAUAUGGUUCGUACAUAAUAGCAAUAUAUUAUUGAACUCGAAUAAUUUUUUACGCCCAAACAGUUUGUCUCUUUCUAAAAAGAUUGAUCCAUGAGAAUGAUGACGGUAAAUUUCAAGGUACGACGUGUAAUUUUGUCCAUUUCUAUUUUGCAUGUUUCUUUUAGCUUUGAUUCUUUUAUUUUGUCCUAAUAAAUAAAAACAUACACACCGCACCUCUGUACGAAACGCAAAAUAUAAAAUUUUUACUAUUAGUUCUCUAAAAAAAAAAUUAAAAAUUUUUUACUAUUAGUUGACAAAUGCAUCCUUAAAACAUUGUUAUUGUAAAUAUUAUUAUGAUAAUCAAGACAAUGAACAGUCCAGAUAUAUCGACUUCACAACAUCAUUAACAAACACCAACAUUUGUAUUAUGCUAUUGGAUUUGUUAAUACUUCCAUUAGCUAACUAAUCUCCCUACAUCUCACCUAAUCCUUAUCAACAUUUUCAACCAGAAAAAAAAGAUCCCAUCCAUUCACAAAUCGUCUUCCUCAGCAUACUCUCUUAACAUCUCGCAUUAAUUAGCUGAAAUCCUUAGUUAUGAGUUCUUCAUCUCAAUCACAAAAUCUUGAUGUAACCUUGUCACUAAGCUUGCCACCAAGAAAUGAAGGCCUAAACCCCCAAGAGAGGGGUAUCAAGCUGAUCCAGCUCUUGCUAAGUUGCGCCAACCACGCCUCCUCCGGCAACCUCCACCACGCCGACACGUGCCUCCGCCACAUAUCGGAGCUUGCCUCCGUCACCGGCGACUCCAUGCAGCGGCUAGCCGCUAGGUUUGCCGCAGCCUUGGCGGCCCGGCUACUCAAGCGAUGGCCGGGCCUUUACAAGGCCCUGAACAAUGGUGGGCUUGUUGGUUUCGAUGUGGAUCGGGCCAGGUCCAUUUUCGCUCGGGCUUUUCCUUGUUUGGGCUUCGCCUACGCAGUUAUAAACCGGACCUUGAUUCAAGCCUUGUUGGGGGAGCGUGAGGUCCAUGUUAUUGAUUUGGGCUGUGGUGACCCGAAACUGUGGGUUCCUUUCGUUCGGGCCAUGGCGGAUGGGCCCAAUGGGCCGCCGCGUUUGAAGAUCACAUCCGUCGGUAUAAACAAAGAGGCCCAAGAGAGAUUGGAGGGAAGGAUUUUGAAAGAGGCUCAGAGUUUGAAAAUGGAAAUUGUGUUGAACCAUGUUGAUGCUAAGCUUAGGGAUUUGAGUUUGGACAUGCUCAAGGUCAAACCAGGUGAAGCGUUAGCGUUGACUUCGAUUUUGAGCCUUCAUGUCCUAUUGGCCGAGGACGACGGCGUGGACGCGCGUUUUGGGCUACGGAGCAAAAGCAACCAAGUGAGCGAGUGCAAGCGAAUGGUGGAGUUUCUUGAAAUGGUGAGAUCGGUUGGGCCUAAAGUCGUGUUGCUAGUCGAGCAAGAGUCGAAUCACAACUCGAGCCGUCUAGUGGAUCGCUUCGUGGAAGGAUUACACUUCUACAGUGCCUUAUUUGAUCUGAUAGAUGCUACAUUCGGUGCAUUAUCGUGCUCGAAUCGAGCAACCCUAGAAGAAAUGUUCGGGCGCGAAAUCGAGAAUAUCGUGGCGGGAGAAGGGUUGGAGAGGGAGGCGAGGCACGAGAGAUAUGCAAAGUGGGGGAUUAGGUUUACAACAAGUGGGUUUAGACCCAUUCAUUUGUGGUAUGACUCAAUGAAGGAGGCCCGAAAAGUGGUUGAGGCCUACGGGCCGAGGGGGUUUAGCAUAAUUAGUGAAAGGGGGAGUUUGAUGAUUUGUUGGCAUGAUAGGCCUAUUUAUGCAGUAUCAGCUUGGAGCUUGUUCUAGCAAUAUUUCUUUCUUCAUUGUCAUUUUUAUUGUUUUGUAAUUUUGUGUUCUUUAUCAAAGGUAUAUAAAAUAUUUAUGUACAAGUAAAUGACAAAAUGUGGAUAUUAUUAGCGUCGGCAUGAUAUUUCACUAUUGAAACGACAUACAUAUCAUAUGCGCGAUAAUAAGUGAAGUAUUUAGUAUUCCCUCCGUCUCAAGUAAUUUGAUCAGUAUUUCUUUUUACGUCGUCCUAACUAAGUGAUCAAUUCCUUAUAUUGAAUGAUUUUUCCACUUUAUUCACUAGCUCUAUUCAUUUUAUUACCCAACACACUCAAAACACUAAACAAUAACUCUUUAAAUCUCGUGCGAAAAAAAAUUGAUUUUGUUCUAUCUUCUUCACCCUCUGUGCCCCCUCUCCUCUUUUUCUCCGCCUCAUUUUUGUUUUUUGCUCAAGGAAGAUCACGGCGACAAAGACGUUAUGUGGCGGCGUCAUCCCAUACCUUUCUUAUCUACUCUUCUUCGCCGCCUCCGCCUCUCCAACCACCUAAAUCAGGAGAUGCAACAGUCGCUUAAGAGCUCAACUCACACAACAAUGACACGACGGAAGAUGGAGCUCGAGCUGUUCCAAUCGGAGUUGCUGAAAGACCUCUCCAGCUGCGUCCAUCCGCCGCGAUUCGUGCUGGAGGCAAUCUCCAAUUUGAAGUUAACUUGAAGAGUUUUAGUUGUAAUGAAAUAGAAAUAAAGUCUUAUUCCUAUUAAGAUUCUUAAUGUUUUUAGACUAUAAUAUAAACAUAUAUUUAUUGUAAAACACACGGUACGCUACACAAUACACUACACAUAAGUAAUUCUUAAUUUACUAAUCAAUAUACAAAGUUCUAAAGUUUCAACUACAUUCAUGUUUUUCUUACAUUCUUUUAGUGAUGCUAUUUUUUAGCAUAGCAAUACCAGAACAAAUAGUAGUUUACUUUUUAAUAGGAGUUGAAUCAAGAUUGGAAUAUAUAAAUUCUUAAUAUAUAAAAUUUAAUAAAUUUCCGUUUUAAUUUAUCUGAAACUUCAAUCCAUAUCAAACUUUUAGUAAUUUUUAUCCAUUGAAAAAUCUAUAGUAUGUGUUUUUUAAUAUUAUUUAAAUUUCAAUUUUUUUUCACCAAUUAAAAAACUAAUAUAAAAGAACUAGUUAUGAGUAUAUUUUUGAAUACAUAUUAUUUUGAUAAUUUUUAGUGAACAACUUUUUGAUACUAUAAUCUAAUAAUUUUAUCAAUAUAUUAGUUAAUGAUUUCUCAUCUAUCUUCGAAGCACUAUACCAGUACCAGUGUGAUUAAUUAAAAAAACGAUAAUAACUGUACAAAAAAAGCCCAAGAAAGUUUAUAAAUAGUUAAAACUUUACUUAUAUUCUUCUUUCUAUUUUACAAAUGGCAUCAUAAAGAAAAGUCCAAGAAAGUUUAUGAGUCGUUAAAAACAUGCUUACAGUAGUAUUAUUCAUAUUUAUUUCUAUUUUACAAAUGGCAUUAAUUCAUGGAAUAUUUACGAAAGACUUUAUUUCUGACAAUAAGUUAUUUAUAAUAUCUCAUAUUUAUUUUUAUUAUUUUAAAAUAUAGUACCAACAUUUUUACCAUAAUUGGCAUUAAAAAAGAAAAUCCUUGGAGAAGUAGUGACGUUAGUGGGCAGUUGAGAGUCUUCCUCUUUCAAAACCCUUGUUUUCUCACUCUUAAUUCUUCGUUAACGAAAUCCUCAUCCCUGUUUGUCCGCACACAUCACGCACCAUCGCAGGUAGGGUUUCUGCAAAUUCCAAUUUCACUGAACGCAAUCACACGUAGCUCUCUCAUGCCAAUUCUUUUAUUGUCUGAAUCUCAUGUUUUCCAAUUAUUGGCUGGAAGCAGAAGUCUCAGGUUUUCGCUUCGGCCAUUCCUCCGCAGCUGCCAUAGCCACUGCGAAGAGUCUGCUCAAGUUAUGUCUGCUUCCGAUGAAAAAAUUGGAGACGAAGAGAAGCACCAUACGGGUGCGCCGGAAGCAGCUUCGUCGGAUAUCAAUGAUUACAAAGUGAUCAAGGAAGGGGAGGCUGAGAUUCUAAUGCGCGUUGAAAAUGAAGUCUUUUAUAACAAGGCUCAGGUUUGUAGAGAUCUUUGCUUGUUAAGUUGCGUUAAUCGUUCAUGUUUAGUUAAGGCUUGCUUUGAGGUGUAUAUCUGUGGAUACAUAAUUGGUACCUAGUAAUUAGCUACGUUGAAUUUGAUUACAAGAUUUGUGAGCUUAUCUUUUGUUUAUUUCAUUGAGAUAGAGAGCAAAACCAAUGGUCCUAAAUAACUUUUGUUUUUCUUAAAAAUCCCAAAUUGGCCCCUUUUUCUAUGAGCAAUCUGUUGGUUAUUUAAAAGUUGAAGUUUGUUCUGGUGCGUGUAUGAUUGGGAGGAGUUUGAGCUUCGAAAUUUGAUGCCAGGUUAAUAACAGAGACAUGUCUCUUGCCGUUUUGAGGACAUUUAUAUCAAAACGCCAGCAAGAACAUGAAGCUAGGCUGCUUUCCAGGAAAAUGAAAAGUAGAGCAAAAGAGGUUGCUGAACCUAUUGUUGAAUCGAAAUCUGUGGAGCACGAUGAAAAAUCUAAUGGGGAAUGUGAUGUCCCUCAAGAUAUAUCUCAAGAUGAACCCUGCAGCAUCUUGGAGAACGCAGCAACCAAUCAAGGGGGAAAGGUCCCCGAAGAAUUGAAGCCGGCACGAGUUUUGGAGGUCGUUAUUGAGUUCACGUUGCUUAUGUUGUUUCACAUUGGGAAUAACUAUACUACUAGUUCCAUACGUUGUUGUAUCAUUUGAUAACAUGCUUCACUUGUUUGACAGGCAUUGUCAGCCUCUGGUCUUAGAGCUUUAAGAUAUGCUCGUGAAGUAGAGGGAAUUGAGAAAGUUGUGGCCCUGGAUAAUGAUAAAGGUAGUUCUAUAUUUCUCAUUCAGUAAUUAUGCAACACAAAUAGAGGUGGAGUGGUUUCUUCUCUUUUGUUUUUGCUCGGGUUUUGUUGUUAAUAUGACAGGAUCCAGGAUAAAAUGCUGAUAUUACACUUCUUCUGCAGCGUCUGUUGAAUCUUGCAGAAGAAAUAUUAAAUUAAAUGGUUCAGUCGCAAGUUCAAAGGUGGAGUCACAUCUUGCUGAUGCUAGAGUCUACAUGCUUACUCACCCUAAAGAAUUUGACGUGGUAUGUAUUCUGGAGGUCAAAGCAUCCUAUUUUGCGAUCCAUGUUGUGUUGAACUAAGAGGGGAAGUGCAGCUGAAAUUCUGAUAUUAUUAGACCAGAAGGGAACCCACCCUGUCUUAUGUAACAUGAAAAGGAUGUCAUAGGACCGAGGCUGUCAUUUCCACAUAAUUGUGCUGUCUUUACAGCCUGUCCGACUUGACAAAUUUCACUCUUUGCAUUAUAACAUUUACAUAUUAUAUCACUUCAUUCAACCUUUUGACACAUUAUUAUAUUACAGGUUGAUCUCGAUCCUUAUGGUUCACCAUCCGUUUUCCUUGACUCUGCUGUUCAAUCAGUUGUUGAUGGGGGCAUAUUGAUGUGUACAGCAACAGAUAUGGCAGUGCUUUGUGGGUCUAAUGGCGAAGUUUGCUAUACCAAGUAAGAUUGAUUUUUAAGAAAUCAUUUUUCCUGAUCUUUGGAAGUUGAAAGUAGUAGUAUUUACUAGAUGCUUGUUGAACUAGAUAUGGAGCUUAUGCAUUGAAAGGAAAAUAUUGCCAUGAGAUGGCGUUACGGAUCCUUCUUGCAUGUAUUGAGGUCAGUUGAUUUUACUGAGUUAUUCUGUUAUAUAAUUGGAAAUUUUAGUUCCUAGGUAACUGUGAAUGCACUCUAAUAUGACUUCCCUUGAGCUACUUUUUUCCUCUUUCUGUACUGGUCCUUGACUCCUUGAUGUUUUCAUUCUGUAUCGACUGUUGACUCCAGGACUUUGGUGUUUUACUUUGUUAAUUCAUGGUGAAUAGAAACACUAAUUCACGUAAUAUAACCAUUAUGCAGAGCCAUGCAAACCGCUACAAGCGUUACAUUGUUCCUGUGCUAUCUGUUAAAAUGGAUUUCUAUGUACGAGUUUUCGUCCGUAUAUUCACGUGAGUAUUUCUCUUCAAAUAUCUCAGUUAAAUUAAUACAGCUAACAUGAUUGGGUCAUAGAUGGUCAAUUCACGAUUUUUUAAUUCACUAGCCUAAUUCAUGGACAUAAUUUUGCAGCUCCGCAAGUGCAAUAAAGAACACUCCUCUGAAGCUGUCCUAUGUUUAUCAAUGCAUUGGCUGUGAUUCUUUUCAUCUUCAGCCAAUUGGAAGGACUGUCUCCAAGGUAAAGAUUGAAUGUUUUCAGAUACUUAUGUGAUGCAUAGACAUGGUGGCAAUGACUAGUGAACUUAAACAUUCAUAGUGCUUGGUCACUUCUCGAUUUGUAUGCAAAUGCCUGAAAUUGUGCUAUCAUUCUUUGCAUAAAAUACCUUAAAUAAGCCAAUUAUUAAGUAUCUCACUGAAUAUUUUUCCCUCUUUUAUGUUGAAUCUAGAAUACCAGUGUGAAAAAUCUUGCUGGAUUUGGUCCUGUUGUCGCCCAAGAAUGCAGUGAUUGUGGCAAGAAAUACAAUAUGGGUGGGCCCAUAUGGUCUGCUCCAAUCCAUGAUAUGGAAUGGGUUAAUUCAAUUCUAGCAGAUGUGAAGUCUAUGAAGGACCGGUAUCCUGCUUUUGAUCGGAUUUCUGCUGUAUUAACUACAAUUUCUGAGGUAUGCCUCCCGUCACUAACUUUUCAGUCAGUGGUUAUAUUGUAAGGAUUAGGAAUCACUGCUGUAAAAUUUAGGACACCACAUACAUAGAAACCUCAUCAAGAAUUUUCAUAAAAGUGAUGUAUUCAUACCUGUGAUUUUUAGUAGAACAGCUUCGACCUUGUUGGUGGUUUUAUUAUUGACACGGUAAAAAGUUUUAGCUUUGAUUUUGUGAUAGACUACUACUCGAGCGACUUACAGACUACCGAACCUUUUAUUAAUAUCAUAAGAAAUGUAUAAUGUGCUAUCCUCUUUGAUUUAUACACAAAAUUAAUAAUGGAUCAACGACUUAGGUCUUGUCUCUACCAUUUCCAUACUUAUGAUCAAAAUUUACAUCUUUCUCUUUCCAUUUAGAUUACAUAUUCAAUUGCAAAUUCUUUUUCAAAUGUGAUUUAGGUUUGCAGUAAUGAUCAAUUUAUUGUGGCGGAGUUAUUUCAGAAGUUAUUGUUUCCUGUUUUAGCAGCACCAAUCUUUCAUUUCCCCCGAAGUAGUUUAAGUUAUUGGCUGAAAAAUCUUGUAACUUGUCCUUGUCAGUGCUUUCCGAAGAUGGAAAAUGUGGAGCAUGUUUUGAUUUGUGUGCUUAGGUUGUAUUAAUGCAUAUUACUGGUAUUGCAGGAGUUACCGGAUGUUCCACUAUUUCUGAGUCUGCACAGCCUCUGUGCAACAUUGAAAUGCACAUCUCCCUCUGCAGUUAUAUUUCGUUCUGCUGUGAUUAAUGCGGGAUAUCGCAUAUCAGGAACUCAUGUAAAUCCGCUAGGUUUGAAAACGGAUGCUCCUAUGGAUGUUAUAUGGGAUAUCAUGCGCUGCUGGGUAAGAACAAUGUUUCUAUUUCUCGUUAUGGUCGAAAAUUAGUAUGCCUUUGCUUUGUUUGGCAAAUCAAAUAGAAAAAGACUGUCCCUUCUGAAAUUUCAAUGAGAAAACAAUGCUUCGAUGUCAGAAUCUCCGAUGCUUCUAUGAAUUGGAUAAAUUUAGUCAAUAGGAUAGAAGAAAACAUACCUACCUGGAGUGAAGAUGCAUAAUGUUGUAGGUGCUUACAAAACUUGUUUUCAAAUUUCAAAUGUAACUUUUCCCCAUUACCUAGGAUAUAAAAGAAUUGACGAUGUUUUCUUAUUCCCAGGUGAAAAAUCAUCCUGUGAAAGCUCAGCCAGCCGAGCAGGCUGGAAGUGUAAUCCUCGCCAAGGAACCUGUUCUGCAGGUAUUGACUUGCGCUGCAUCUGUAGACUUUUAUCUUGAUUUUUAUUUCUUCAUGAUUUUGAGGAACAUAUGAUAGUUUUCAUUUACUGGAAGUUGAUUGAGUCAGAUAUUAUAUGUUGGUUUACUUUGUCGAUUGGCAGGUUAAUUUUGCACGAGCUGUCGCGUCCCUUAGCAAAGCACAGGCGAAAAAGGUAGCAAGAUUCCUCCCCAAUCCCGAGAGGCAUUGGGGGCCUAAGGUCAGGGCCGGUCGUAAGAUUACGAGCAAGCACGCCUCACUUCUGGGCGCAGAGGUAGUGAACGGACUGCAGAAGCACGAGGAAGGUGAGGACGAGCCAGCAAGCAAACGUAAGAAGACGGAAGAAUCUACUCCUAAUUUAUGAUAAUAGGACUCUCUGCCUUGGCCCUAGUUGCUGGGACCGCCGAUUAAUUUUCGUCUGCUGCAUUUCAUUUGCAGAGAGAAAUAUACAAGAUUCUCAGCCAUGACCAUUCAGCAUUCUACCCAAGCAUCAGUUUUGUUUUCGGGUUUUUAUCUUUUUCUAUUAUUUCACCUCUCCAACUAAACUUAUGUUUUAGAUUUUCUUGGUUUCGUCUUUAUUUAUUGAUGAGAUGAAAGGCUAUUGAAAUUUUGUUUGUGUUACUAUUUGAAUUGAAAUUUUGCUUAAUUAUAUAUAUAUAUUUUUUACCUAGAUUUCUUCGUACAGUUGAGUUGCCCCUUGAUAUUUUCCUAAUCUUAAUUUGCUUUUUUCUGUUUUUUUGAGCAAUCGUCUGGACUUAUUUAAAUGUUGAGCUUCUAUUGGUGGUCAAAAAGGUUGCCGUCUGUCCACAGCAACAGACAACCAUCAUCCAAAUUAAAAGUUAACCAAAUGUGGCGCAGCCUAUUUUUCUUUAUUUAAUAUUGUAAGUUCAUCAAAAAAAAAAAAAGUUAACCCAAUGUGAACUGUGAAGAUGAUACGAAUUUUAAUAAAAAUUAAUAAAAAAAAUAUUUGAUGGUGAGAUUAUGUGUAAAAAUAAUAUUUAAAGAAUUAUAAUUACUUUUUCCAUUUCAUCAAUUUAGCCCUUUCACUUUUUAUACAUAAUAAUAACAACAAUAAUAAUAAUAAGAAUUUGAAUAAUAAUAAUAAUAAUAAUAAUAACAAUAGUAAUAGUAAUAACAAUAAUAAUAAUAACAACAAUAAUAAUAACAACAACAACAACAACAACAACAACAAUAAUAAUAAUAAUAAUUGUUGGGGGUACGUCCAACAACUACGGAUAAGGACGUCGGGGUCGUCCUGGACGGUGGGCACUAGCAACCUGAAACCACAGAUACGUUAGAGCCCUUCUAGGAACACCGGUGGGGGUGUCGAUGGAAGGGCCUCCGACGCUCAAGUCAGUAACAGUACAAGAAAACGUAUUGAAAAGAAUUGAAAUAUAUUAAAAGGAACGACUAGAUCGGAUCGAUCGGGUCGGUGGAUCAGAGAGUCGCUCAACGAUCAGCCGGGGUCGUCGGGGCGUCCUGGAUCAACUGGUCGCUGGGAUCUCCUAGAUUGAGAGCGUGGAGGCGGAGUAGUGCGUGUGAGGAGAGAAGGCGGGGAGAAUGUGUUAAGGCGUGAAUGAUCUGAUGCGCCGAGUGACCUAGUUAGUUUUCUUAUAUAGUGUGGUGUCUUGGCGGCUAGGGUUUUUCCGGGAUGUCCGUGAAACCCUAGUUGUUCCGAUAUUUCCGGGAUCGUCUUCUUUCCCUGCUUUCUCCUCCGAGUCGUUGCCCUCUGUAGGGUUUAGUGCGGGUGGGCCUUAAUGACUCGACGUAUGGGCCGAAUUAAUUAGAAUUAAUUCGAUUUUUGGAUUGGGCUGAUUAUUUGGACCAUGAGUAUUUAUUUAAAUGGGCUAUACGAAUUUUGUCCAUUACAGUUUGUCCCCCACUCUCUAAUUUGAUAUUUACCAAAAUAGAGAGUAAAGCUACUGAGUAAUUUGAUUCGUUGUCGAGAGAUGACUUAUAAAUUCUCGAAUGGAGAUUUUCUCUAGUCAAUAAAAUUGAAAUAAUAUACGGAUCUGGGGAUCGAAGUGGUCUGUAUUCCAGUAUAUAUAUUACUGGAGUAAUUGUAUUAUAAUUGUGUAAAUGUCAAUUUGGACUAAAGAAUGAUUUAUGGCCCGUAGCCUAAUUAAAUUGAUUUGGGCUAAAAGCUUUUAACGGCUCAUAACCUAUUUAAGUUGGUCUUCAUUUUUUGUGGGCCUGGGGCAGCUUGAGUGUGUGAAUGGCCCAAAUAUUAGGCUGAUUUUCGCAGCCCACUUAAUGGGGUAUCAGAUUGGGNUAAUAACAACAACAAUAAUAAUAAGAAUAAUAAGGAUAAUAAUAAUAAUAAUAAUAAUAAUAAUAAUAAUAAAAAUAAUAAUAAUAAUAAUAAUAAUAAUAACAAUAAUUAGUUUAGGGGAGACUAAUUACAUAAGUAAUGGUGGAAUAAAGUGGGCCCAAUAGAUAAAAGUGUAGUAAAUUUAAAAGCAAGGGAGGGUAUAAUUGUCCAAAAAGCAGAGUAUGAGUUUAUUUCGUGGACGGAUGGAGUAUUUGAUGAUGAGAUCAUAUAAAAGUAAUAUUUAAAAAAUUAUAAUUACUUUCUCCAUUUCAUCAAUUUAGCCCCUUUCACUUUUUCACACAUAUUAAAAAAAUACAUCUAUUCUUAUUUAAAAAAUACAAAUUUUUAUGUUUUAUUUUUUAUAUCCUUAUGUAUUAUUUUUACACAUCAUUUUCACAUUUAAGUGAAACAUUAAAUAAGAUUAGUUUAGUAAAACAAUAUUUUUAUAUUAAAAAAGUGGAUUGUUUUUUUUUGGAUUUCCAAAAAUAGAAUAAGUGACUAAUUUCAUGAGAUUUGAUAGUGAGUUAUGUACAAAAAUAGAAAUAGAAAGUUAGUAGGCUGCGGCAAUUUUUUGGGCAUAAUUAAUUUGAUCAAAUUACAUAAUUAGAUCUAAGAAACAUAAUUCUAAUCCAGGAAAAAAAAAUCACAACUUACCGGGAUUUGAAAAAAAAAAAUCAAAUAAGAAACUCACCGAACAUUUCCCGAUGAUAUCCCUAUAUCUCUUGAACGGAACUAGCUCACCGAAGGGUAAUUUGGUCUCAACAGUAAACUAAAGGAUAAUGAAAAACAGGCUAUAAAAAAAGUUAAAACAAGCAAGCAACGUAAAACGCAUAUUCAUUAACUCAAACUAAUAUUGGAAGAGCAGUUUCUAAAACAAGCAAGUCGUUGUAGUAUAGUGGUAAGUAUUCCCGCCUGUCACGCGGGUGACCCGGGUUCGAUCCCCGGCAACGGCGCUUUAAUUUUUUAAAUAUCUAAUUUUAGUUUUAGUUAAUUAAAAAUAUCUGAAAGAAGACACAUACACAUCUGCUAGUUAGAUUUUUUGUUUUGAGGCAGCACCCUAGUCUAGCCAAAACCUUUUAGUCAUAGGAAAUUCUAGCCAUACAAAUAAAAAUAUGGAAAUAAUAGCAUUUCUGACUAAAAUACCUUUUAGUGUGUAACAAUAUAAAAUAUACUAUUACACACUUUUUAGAAACGAAAAAAGUGUGUAAUAGUGUAUUUUACACUGUUACACACUUUUUCGCAACCACACACUUUUACAUUAUUACACACUUUUUCACAAAAGUGUGUAACAGUGUAAAAUACACUGUUACACACUUUUCGCAGUUACACACUUUAUGUUAUUACACACUUUUGCGAAAAAGUGUGUAACAGUAUUAAGGGUAUAAUUGUACAUUUACGUUAGAAAAUGCUAGUUUUUCCAUAUUUUUCUUUGGGUGGACAUUUUUUCCUUUUCUUAGAGCAUCCAUAACGCUUACACGAUAGAGCUUACACGAUAGCCCUAUCGUGUAAAAGCUCUAUCGUGUAACCGUUGCAGACUCGGGUUACACGAGGGCUACACGUUCUAUCGUGUAGCCCAAUUUCUCAAUAGUGUAAGGCGCGUGCGAUGCACGCGCCUAUUUAAAAAAAAAAAAUUGGAUUUGACUGUUGACUCCUCGGUUUGCGUGUUUUUUGACCGUUCAAAAUUUUUUUUUUCCUUUCUUUUCUUCUAUUUAUUCUUCUUCUUCCUCAUUUUUUUCCCUACGCCCUCACUUCUUCUUCUUCAUCUUCUUCAUUUCUUCCUCUCUCUACACCCCAUGGAUCCAAACAACCCAAAUUACUAUGAUCUAAAUUGGUGUCCCGAUCUAUCCGACGAAUAUCAUCCCGAUUUAUCGGGAUGUAACUUGGGGGAUGCUCCUCAGGCCGGCGAGGAGAUGCCUUCGGCCCAUAGUGCCGCCAAACCGAAGAAAGGCAGCCGAAGGAAGAAGUCACCCACAAGAUCCGACAUGAUAGGCCGGCGUCGGUGGCGGAGGCGGAGGAUGACGGAGGUAAGACUAUCCGUCAUACCUACACCACUGAGGAGACGGACAUCAUCGUCCUAAAUUUGGAUGGAGGAGAACAAACGACGCCAUCCGGUGGGACAAAUACAAAAGGGGUUCGAGUACUGGAAGAGGAUCGUCGCCCGUGUCAACCCCCUCAUCGGCGCCCACCUCAAAGUUCGUCAGAUUCAAGGGCACUGGACCCGAGUGGCCCAAGAGGUGCGGUUGUGGGAAAGUAUUUGGGUGGAGGCGCGCAGCAAGUGGCCGUCCGGCCAUUCUGACGAUAUGCUCCGGGACAAGGCCCAAAACUCUUUUCAAAAGUCGGAGCGCAAAUAACGCCUCUUUCAACUACUGGAAUGCGUGGAGAAUUCUCCGAAACAACCACAAGUUCAAGUCGAUGUACCUCGAGGGAGACGUGCAUUCCUCCAAGAGGACAAAGACGACAGAGGAGGGCGACUUCACCACCUCGGCGUCAGGCGAGGAGAUCUCGUCUGCCCGGCCGAUUGGGAACAAGGCGGCGAAGGCGGCGGCAAGGGCGGCGAAAGGGAAGGGGAAGGGGAAGGCGACGGCAAGCUCCGAGCAGUCAUCGGAGUACAAAGAGGCAUUGGAUCAGUCCGAUCAGAACUUGAAAAAUUUCACGGCCGAAUAUGCCAAAAAAGACGAGCUCAAGGAGAGGGAGCUCGACAUGCAACUCCUCAGUCUGGAUACAUCGCAUAUGAGCGAUGUACAGAGGAUGGCCCACGAGCACAUGGUACAAGAAAUGCUCAAGCGUCGUGGCCUUAUCUAGACUAGGAGUUUAAUUUAUGUAAUUUAAAUUAUGUUUUUAAUUUUUUUUUAAUGUAAUUUUUAGGUUUUUUAUUUGAAUGAAAUUUUAAUUAUUAGUCAAAGGUGUUAUUUAAAUUUGAGCAAUUAAAUUUAAGUAAAAAGCAUAAAAAUGGAAACUAAUUCUAUCAUGUCAGCUAUCAUGUAACCCCACUGCAGCAUCUUUACACCAUGUGGUCCCCCAUCAUAAAGUAGGCUAUCAUGUAAGCUAUCAUGUAACCCCAUUGCGGAUGCUCUUAUACAAGAACGGCUAAUUGAGCCCAUUAACUCUUUUGUUUUUUGGAUUAAAAAAAUUAAAAUAGAUACGUACCGAGACAUCAAAAUUUUAAAAAUAAAAUCAGAAUAGGACACCCAAUGAGACACCAAAAACGUAAAAAAAAUAAAUAAAUCUAUAUAUGUUUUAGCCGUUGCUUUGCUCUCCCAACUUUGGUAACCUUAUUGCAUAAUUCUAGGAAUGAACCUAUCGCGCUUCUCAUUCAACAACAAAGAUAUCUAUAUAUAUUCAUCAACAAACACUAGAUCGAUACACAGAUUAUCAAACUGCAGGCGGUGAAGAAACUGAUAAUUAAUUUAUGAAAAGGAAUAACAAAAUUUUAUGAUGCGUUGCUCAUGACUUAGGCUUAGCAGUAGGAGGCGUCUUGGUAGGGGGGUUGAGCUCGUCCCACGCCUGAAUCCACGUCUCCAUUGCAUCGGAGAGCUUGACAAAAUACGGGUCGAUUUUGCCGAGCUUCUCCUUCACCUGUUUGGCCAGCUCAAUGUAGCACUUCUGCACAGUAGUUGAGUCCUUGGAGAGCGUCGCCGAUUGGAAGAAAGGGAUGAUCUCUUCUUGCCAGAAUAUCCCAUUAUACUCCUUUCUCAGAUUCACGAAAGGGUUGCUCGCUUUGCUGUGCCAAAUGUAGGGCAGCCCCGUCUUCACUCCCAACCCUAGAUGAUCACAGAUCACCUGCAUUUUCAUAUACUUAAUGACACUUAAUGUUUAUUUUUCAAAAUCUAGUCGUGAUAUUUCGUUCAGCUGUAUUGUGAAUUAAUUAUUUUUUAAUUGUAUUUCAGAUCUGGUAUGAACGGAGGUUAGUCGUACUAGUCUUGGCACACCACUAGAUCAUGUGCUUGGCACGAAUGGUGCGAAAUAACUCAUUUGUACCAUCUGUUUCAAGAAACAUCAGAUUUCUUGGGAUUAUUAUUUUCUUCUUCACCCUCAUUAAUUCUGCGACCCAUAUGACUGAUCAUUUUCACCCCAAUAAGUCUCCACAUAUGCAAGAUGAACCAUUCGUGCCAAGAUUUGUUGCUUCAAUACUUGGCACGAAUGGUACCAUUUCGUUACGACAAAAAAACCCUAGCUUUCAUUUUGUUCCAAUUACAAGUCAUGAACAAAAUCCGCAUCAAAUGAGUAAAAUAACAUUAAAUCUCAUAGAUCUCAGUCAGAUCUAACUAAAUGCCUAGACUAAAUCUUCAUUUUCAUUCAUAUACUUUUUUUUUAGUAUUAUUAUCGAACAAGAAGAAGCGAUGGAAUAUGAAUGGAAUAGUACCUUGGUGCACCAGCCGGCCCACAUGUCGUCGUAGCGGCCGAUGGGCUGGCCGUCGCCCAUGAGGCCGAAGUACAUGGCGGGGCCGAUGAGGUCGCGGUCGAAGCCGAGGUUCAUGCCGCACAUGGGGAAGAGUGUGCCCUUGGGGAUGGUGAGCACGGCGUCGACGUAGGUGGUGUUGCGCUCGCGCGGCUUGACGAGCUGCGUGGGGGCGUCGUAGUCCGGGAUGUUGAGCCAGAGGCCGUGGGAGACGGCGGUGGGGACCCCCUCCCGCAGGCUGAAGGGGUAUCCGCGCACGAAGUCGGCGCCCUCCCGGAAGGGGUCGUAGAGCGUGUUGAAGAAGAGCGGCGUGGAGGGGCACAGCAGGUUCCUGAUGUGCUGCUCCAGCGCGUUGAUGGGCUUCCCCGAGGGGUCGCUGGCGACGAAGCAGUCGUCGUCGAUGGUGAAGAUGUACUUCUUCUUCGAGAUCAUGUAGCCGAAGCAGCGGCACGCCGAGUCCUUGAAGGAGAUGCAGGAGGCCUUGGGGCCGAGGAUGCGGUUGAUGUCGUUGCGGUUGUAGAGCUCGUAGUCGAAGCCGUCGGGGACCUUGAUGCUCUUCGCAGGGUCGCCGUCUUGGACGAUGAUGAGGUGGUAGGGUUGGAGGAAGGGCCUCCACAUCUCCAGGAAGUCCAGGUUUCGGAUCGUCGGUAUCACGAUGUCGAGCUCGUCUUUCAGGGGCGGCGAGGUGCUGGCCAUGGCGGCGGCGGAUGUGGUGUCGGGGAAUCACCGGGUUUGUGCGGUCGUUUAUAAGGGGAGGAGAGGGGCGGAAGGGGCGGGGGAUGUGGGCUCGUGAAUGGUUCAAACCGAUUCUCGUGUAACGGAUGCCUUUUCCUAUUUUUGUAACUACCUUUGCAUGCAUACUUUUGAGUUUUGAAUAGCGACCGUAAAUAUUUCUCAUCUUGCAUUAAAAAGAUGUGUGCAUAUGAAACAUAAAUUUAAAAUGAUUUUGCAUUAUAUUCCCCCCUCUCUCUUUCUACGAUAAGUCUGGUGUGGAUGAAAAGACACAAAUUUUAAGAUAAUGAGAUGCGUGUAAAAUUGAUGAAAAUAAUUAAUAAAUAGUUUGUGGUGUACGAUGUUAUAAAUAUUGUGCGUGAAUGUGUGUAUUUUAAAAUGAAAAUAUAUAUAAUAUUUAUUGUGGAUUGAUGAAAAUGACAAAAUGAUCAUAUUUAUUAUGAACUGAGGAAGUAGUUAAAUUUACGGUCGUCUUAUAAAUUUAUUACGUAUAAAUAAAUUUACUGCAACCACUAUCUUUUACGUAUAAUUAUUGCAAUAAAUUUACGUGCAGAUGAUAUUUGAUAUGCAUGCAUGUUAUCAUUUGUCAGAUUUUAUAUUUUCAGACAAGAUCAAUGAAGAAAUUUAUAGCAUAAUUUUCCUCCAAUGCGAAUAUCAAGCUGGCUCCAACAAGUAUAUAUAUAUAUAGGGUUAAUUGCCGCUAAAUUCAAAAGCUUUCUAAAAUUUCGCGAUAUUCUCACCAACUUCAAAAUCGGCGUAUGAAUACACGAAUUGAGAAUCCGUUCUUAAUGUUCCCAAAAUUAAAAAAUCCCCAAAAUUUGAAGCUGACAUGGAUGAUCGUAGUUACAGCGUGGCAUAGUCGGCAGCGUAAGNCGGCAGCGUAAGGAAACGACGUCGUUUUUAAAAUCAAAACGACGUCGUUUUGAUUUCCAACAACAUUAAAAAAGAAAAAAAAAUAGCAGAAUUCUCUCUCUCUAUUUCGAACACCACCACCGCCGCCGAGAUCUGAACUUCCAAGCCAUUACGUCGACCGCCGAGUUUCUGGACUUCCAGCCAACCAACCAUCGCCGAGAUCUGAACUUCCAACCACCAGACCACCACCGCCGCCGAUCUCUGGACUCCCACCGUCUCCCUUACUCAUCUCUGCCAGAGUUCUGGACUUCCACCAGACCACCACCACCGCUCAUCUUCGCCUGCUCUCAACUGUCAACAACAACACACACACUCACCUACAACUGCCGCCGGUCAAUCUCUCUCUCGCCUUUCACCGCCGCUCUGCAAAUCGCCUCACCAAAUCGCGGCCUCCCUCCUUCAAAUCGUCACCCCAAAUCCCUCUGCAAAUCGCAACUCUGGGUGUUUGGGGAUGGGGUAGAUGGAGGAGUCGAAGGGUGAGAAAAUAUGUGUACUGAUUUGGGCGGCCUUCUUCUUCGUCGCGGUGGUUGGUCGGGGUGGCGCCGGGGGUUUGGGAGGUGGUGGACGGGGUGGCGCCGAGGGUUGGAUUUGGGAGGUGGUGGUCGGGGGGGUUGGGGAAGGGGGUGUUUGGGGUUGGGGGUAGGUAUUUUCUAUUUUUUUUUAUAAAUUCAUUUAUUAACAUUUUAUUAAAAUAAGAUUAAUUAAAAAAAUUAAAAAAUGACAUGUCAUAUCUAUUUGGCAUUUAAUUGACAUGUCACAGAUGUUUUCCAUGUCAACUCGCCGGAUUUUUUAAUUUUGGGAACAUUAAGAACGAAUUCUCAAUUCGUGUAUUUAUACGCCGAUUUUGAAGUUGGUGAGAAAAUCGCGAAAUUUUAGAAAGCUUUUGAAUUUAGCGGCAAUUAACCCUUUAAUAUUUUGAAAUUAAAUUACUUUCUCAAGACAGAAUCCGAGCCAAACAAACAUGCACCUAAAGUUUUGUGACACGUGACAAUCAUCCAUUAAUACAUAUAUAGAUGAUGUUGCACAAUGAUGCGAUGGACAUUUAAAAAUUCACGUUAAAAUUGUUAAAUUCGAAAUAGUUCAUGAUUUUAUUUGCCAAAAUCUCAAGUUUUAUCCAUCUUCAUUUUUUUGAAGUUGUUUUGUAUGAACGAAAUGUAUUUUUGUAAUUUAAAAGAUAUCUAUAAUUGUGUUAGUAUUAUUUAUUUCUAAUUUAUUUUAAUUAAUUUAUUAUUUUUAUUUAAAAAAAAAUGGACCCCCCUGGAACGAAAGUCUGGCUCCGCCCCUGUCUACACUAAUAUAAACUUUAAAAUCUUGUAACAAACUAACAGAUUUAUAUCGAUCUUUUAUAUUUCUUUUAUCACUUUUUAUCUUGUAACAGAGCAAUCCUAAAAUCUGGUAACAGUAACAGAUUUAUUUGGAAUGUUUUAUAGUAUUUCUUUUAUCCCUUUAAUUCUUCUCAGAAUUAAUAUCCGCAAUGUUUAUUCAAUCUAGUCGCGCUGAAUCGGUAUUUUUUGCCUUUUUUUUAAUCACCAAUACUCUAAAAUUCUAAUAUGUUGUAUAAAAAUAAAAAUAAGAUCGUUGGUGUAGUGGAUAAGUUUAAGUUAUCCAACUCCAUUGACACAUGGUUCAAUUCCUUGUUUUUACAAUUUGAUUUUUUAAAUUAAGGAAAUUUGCUACUGAAUUAAUAGACGAUUAAUACAUGUAUAUGCCAUACAAGUUUUAAAUUGAAUUUGUGUUUAAAAAAUAAAAAUAAAUUGAAUUUACUUUAAUUUGCCAAAAAAUAAUUAUAAAAAUUAUUACCCACAUAUAUAUAAUUGAUAAUUAUGUGUGGUUAAAAAAAUUUAUUGAAUUGCCACGUGUGGACACUAAAUAUAAAAAUAAAUUUCAUUAAAUAAAAUAAAACUAAAAAAAACUCCCGCCAUACAAUACAUACUAAAAUUUGUUUGCUACACAUUUUAAAUGUCAAUAACUAAUUCAAAGUUUCUAACUCAUUCACCUACACAUUUUUUACACAUUUUUCAAAAUACGUGUCAGUAAUUAUGUGUGGGUAAAACAUCAAUUAAGAUUUGCAUAAAUAAUUGAUUAAAGCCAAAAUAUAAAUGUGGCUAAAUAUAUUCUCCCACAUUUAUUACAUGUCAAGAAUUAAUAAUGAUAAAAAUUCAUUAGUCACACAUAAAUAAUUUAGAGUUAUGUGUGGUUAAUAACUUUUAUUAGUUUGCCACGUUGGCACACAAUAUUCAAAAAUAAAUUUUAAUUAUACAUAAAUAAAACUUAAAAAUAACCUUAAAAUAAUAAAUGUCACAAAAUAUUUUUGCUACACAUUUUAAAUGUCAAUAACUAAUGAAUUUUAUUUGGGUGAUUUACCUACACAUAUUGAAAUUAUGUGUGGCUAAACUACCACACAUUAUUAUGUGUGGGUAAUUAUGUGUGGGUAAAAACUCAAUUUCUUGUAGGUGUUCGUACCAUAUCAUUUAAAAAAAUCCAUUCUGAUAAAUUUAAAAUUCACUGCUAUCGUGUUUGAAAUUCACGCUAAUAACCUAGAAUUAAGGAUAAACACGAUAGAAUAUGGUACGAAACGAAGUCGUUUUUACCAUGGCAUUUAAAAAAAUAGAAUAUAAAUUACAUUGUGGCAUCCGGCGAGCCACAUCACGUUUUUUGUGACCGGAAAAUAGAUGCGGGAUAUAUUUGAUAAAAACCUGAUAGUUUGAGGGUUUAGAGAACAUUUUAAAAGUUUCAGGGUAUUUUUGAUAAAGCGGGUAUACUUCAAGGGUUUUCAUGAUAAUUACCCUUACUAUAUAUAUAUAUAUAUAUAUAUAUAUAUAUAUAUAUAUUUUGAUAUAUGUGGACUGUUUGAGGAAUAUGCAUGAUGAUAAGCUUAUAGGCUACCAUUUCGAGUCUGAAUAAAUUUUUCGAAACACCUCAAAUGACAUUAUUCGUGUAAAUUCUUUUGUCGUCCAAGCAAAAAUAUUUUCACUCAACAGUACAGUGUUCGUUUAACUAUACUAUAACUAAAACAAUAAUUACUUUUUAUUAAGGUAUCACGAGUUAAAGAUGGAGAUGAUCUCUAUUUCUGAAAAUUACAGGACAUUGUGUUUCUCAAUAAUUUCAUAAGUCGUGGGGUUUUCGGAAUCCACUUUAUAAACUUUAUAUAUGAGCUAACUAGCUAGCUUCUCCAUGAAAAAGCUAUAGGGACAUAGAGCAAGGGAUGUUGGGACUAUUCUGGCGCACACCGUUAAUAAAAUAUUAGUCUACAAAUUAUAACUAUUAUAUAAAUUUGAAUAUAGUUAGUUUGUGUUUUACUUAAUAUCCUAUCCCCAUUAAUUCCUAUUCCCUCAUGAUAAAUCUUCUAGACAAACAGACAGCAGUUAACAUCAAACAAAUUAAUCAUGUCCUACUCAAUAUUAUCUUGUUUUUGUAUUUUAUUUCAUAUUCGAUGUAUGCUUUGUGCAUUCUAUAAUCACACUAUAUAGAUGAUGUGUUUAUAUCAAUGAAGUGAAAAAAAUAAAUGUAACACAUAAAUGCUGUCGAUAAACCAAUUUGAUCUUUAUCAAGCUUUAGCAGCAAGGGGUAAUAUUUUCCCAAAACUACAAUCAAAUCGCAAUUUAAGAAAGGGUUAAAAUAACUUGUCAACAAAAAAGUAAGGUUACAAUUGAUUGUAUUUCACGUUUUCAUUUUUCCAAUUGGGUGAGUACAUAGUGUUGCGAAACUUUGGAGGGGAAUAGUACGAAAGUAGUGCGUGGGCAGAUAUAAUAAAUUUUUGUAUGAUUGCAUUUGAUGGGCACAUGCCAGUGAUAUUGUGUGGUGUGAUAUUUCUAAACAUGUUACUCCCUCAAUUCUUUAAGAAUGUGACACAAUUAAUUGCCUUAUUCAAUGUUAUAAUUCUAGCAAUAUAAAUUAAAACAGUGUAAUAUAAACAAAUAGCAAGCAAAGUAUCAUACCCACAUAAAUUUAUAUUUGAAAACAAUGAAUAAUAAAAUACAGACAUUCUACUGUAAUUCAGGGUAAAGUAUCAAAUGUGAAUUUUUUUAAAGCCAGGCAAACAAAUAAAGAUUGCAAAAAGUAAAAUAUUAAAUUGAGAUAAUAAAAAAAAUCAUACAAAAUGUAAUGAAUCAACUAAAUUCAUGCAAUUAACAUAUUAAUUAAUUCAAUUAUCAAUUUGAUAUAACCUAGACGAAAGAUCACACAAAUAAUCGCACCCUAACGCUC
Molecule: long non-coding RNA, 72705 nt
Filed under: Salvia miltiorrhiza (redroot sage)
Lineage: Eukaryota; Viridiplantae; Streptophyta; Magnoliopsida; Lamiales; Lamiaceae
Description: long non-coding RNA (SMIL_LNC005883)
Rfam family: U1 spliceosomal RNA (bases 32313-32472)
Source: RNAcentral